This 62781-nucleotide long non-coding RNA is filed under the name Ananas comosus (pineapple). RNAcentral describes it as "long non-coding RNA (ACOM_LNC011398)". The record is from RNAcentral. Lineage: Eukaryota; Viridiplantae; Streptophyta; Magnoliopsida; Poales; Bromeliaceae.
GGAUAAAUACUUUAGAAACCAAAUUUUAUAAUUUUUUAAUAUUAUUUAUCUUAGAAAAAACUUCAAAAAGCUCCCUUGUGGUUUCAAUUUUUUUUCACUUUAGUACCCUGUGAUUUAAAAUAUAUCAAAUUAGUACUAUGUGCUUUCUCACUUUAUCACUUUAGUACCCUGUGGUUUAAAGUUUAUCAAGUUAGUACCCUGUGGUUUUGCACUUUAUCACUUUAGUACCAUGAUGUUUUAAUUUUGUAUUAAUUUAGUACCCUGUGGUUUUUUAAAUCACAGAGUACUAAAGUGAUAAAAUGUGAAACCACAGGGUACUAAAGUGAUAAAGUGCAAUACAUACACUUUAAACCAUAGGGUACUAAAGUGAUAAACUGAGAAACCACAAGAUACUAAUUUGAUAAACUUUAAACCACAGAGUACUAAAAUAAAAAAGUGUGAAAUCACAUGGGAGGUUUUUGAAGUUUUCCCUUUAUCUUAUAAUUCAAAGACCUCAAAAUUAACAAUUUUCACAUGGGGCAUUUUCUCGUUUAACAACGUAAAGAUAUCCAAAUCAAUUGAUUUUUUGUUAGAAAAUUUUUUAAACUAUUUAAAACAAGAUCUAUACUCUUGAUCUUGAUUUCAAGACUCCUAUCNCAUAUGUUGGGAUCGACUAGCUUAUGCUUCUUUAAUUUUUUAAUUUGUAUAGUAAAUUAAUUCGUUAAGUAUUGCAGAUCAUAUCUAUUUGAUUAAUCUUAUUUUAACGCCUAUUACAGAUAUUUAGAUAUAACAGAACACAUCUUUGAAUUAGGUUUUCGAUUACUUUGCAUGUUAGUUAUAGUACCGGGGUCUUCAUCUUUCUUCGUUAUUAGUGUUGAUGGUCACUUAAGAGAAAUUAAAAAAUUUCGAGGAAUUAAUUGAUCAAUGUACUUUUAUAUUGCUAAUGAUGUGCACAAAUGGGGUUAGGAAUUGUGACGAGACGUGGCAUGGUAUGAUACCAUUAAUUAAUAUCCUUGACUACAGGGUUCUAAUCUACAUAUAAAACGUACACGUAUAUAUCCUACCUAUGAAUUAAUAUUGGAUUAGUAAUCAACACUAGUCAAAUUAACAAAAAAAAAAGUUCAAGAGAAAAACCGCAGUUGUUUGAAGAUUUAAUCUUUGCUGAUCAUUUCUUUAAUUUUUAAUGUUGAUCAUCUAUAAGCCAAAAUUAUUACUUAUAAAAGAAGUAACAGGACAUGCAAAGAACGCAAAAGUGUGAAACGAAAAAAUCAAUCUAAUUUGAAUCGAUUGACGAAUAAUAUUAGCAUAUAUAUANGUAUCCCUUCCAAUGACCAAAUUAGUUAACAAAUCGAGCUUUUCCACGGAAGCCACCUACUAGUCAAUUCCACAAUCUUUAAUCCCUCAAAUUCUAUUAAUUCCACACCCUUCACCCUAUAUAUACACCCCCACCCCCCUCUCCACAACAACACUCAAACACAUAUCCCAUUACUUGUUACCUACAAAGAGCUAUAAUUAAUCCCUAAACCCUUCACUCGCAAUGGGCUCCUCCUCCACCAGCAGCGCCGGCCUCAGUACUCUCCUCUUCAUUCCUUGCCUCCUCCUCCUUGCCGCGGCCCUCGCGGACGCCGCAACAUUCACGGUGACCAACCAGUGCUCGUUCACGGUGUGGGCGGCAGCGGUCGCAGGCGGCGGCCAAAAGCUGGACAGCGGCGGCCAGAAGCUGGACCCGGGCGCCACCUGGACCGUCACCGCCAAUCCCGGCACGACCGGCGGCCGCAUCUGGGCCCGCACCGACUGCUCCUUUGACGCCAGCGGCAAGGGCCACUGCAAGACGGGCGAUUGCGGGGGCGUGCUGGCCUGCACCGCCUAUGGCGUACCCCCUAACACCCUCGCGGAGUUCGGCCUCAACCAGUUCAGCGGCCUCGACUUCUUCGACAUCUCCCUCGUCGACGGCUUCAACGUGCCGAUGAACUUCCUGCCCGACUCCGGCAGCUGCACCAAGGGGCCGCACUGCGCCGCCAACGUGGCGGCCCAGUGCCCCAGCCAGCUGCAGGCGCCCGGCGGCUGCCACAACCCCUGCACGGUCUUCAAGACGGACCAGUACUGCUGCAACUCCGGCAGCUGCGGCCCCACGGAUUACUCCAGGUUCUUCAAGAAUCUGUGCCCCGAGGCCUACAGCUAUCCCAAGGACGAUGCCACCAGCACCUUCACCUGCCCUUCGGGGACCAACUACAAGGUCGUCUUCUGCCCACACUGAGAGGGUUACGUACGUACGUACGUACGAACGUACCCAUGGAUGCAUGCAAUGCAUGGGGCGCGCACUACGUGCUACGUGGGUUCCAUAUAUACAUAUAUAUAUAUAUAUAUAUAUAUAUAUAUAUAUAUAUAUACAUAAAGGGGUGCGGAUCAUGAUUCAUGACACGCACUGAUGAGCUAGCUCGCUGAUAGCUUGGUCAGUUUGCUUGGAUAUAUGCUAUGGAAUAAACCGCGCGUGAAAUAAAUAAAUUAGAUAAUACUUAUGGUUAUUUCGUGCAUGAAUAUAUAAUUCUAUAUACAUAGUAUAGAUAUGAUCGAGUGAAAUAGCUUUACUUUGUGGGUGGGCUCUCGAAGCAUAUAUGGAAUAGCUGCGGUGCUUAAUUUUGUCGUUAAUUUGGACUUUAAUGGUUUUUAAAAAAAAAAAAAUUGGCAUUCCGUAGUAGGAUUGACUUAGGUUUUGGAAAUGAAUGGUUGGGUGCAAAAAAGUGCCUCGAUCGGGAGUAUGGGGGCAUUUGCAAUAUGCUAUGAGAAAAAAAUGCUACUUAAUUAUAGAUUUAAAAGUGGAAGGGAAAUUUUCAAACUUUAGUUAUCAUGUGAUAUGGUUCAAACAAGGCUAAUAAUUUUUUUACUUUUUUUUCCCUAAAAAAAAAAAGGCUGUAUGAUAUGAUCGUGGGCCCUGGGUGAAAAAUAAAAAGGAAAAAAUACAUCUUAAUUAUACAUUUAAAAGUGGAAAGGAAAUUUUCAAACUUUAGUUAUCAUGUGAUAUAGUUCAAAUAAGGCCGAUAAUUUUUCUACUUUUUUUUCCUACAAAAAAAAAAUCCUGUAUGAUAUGAUCGUGGGCCCUGCCCCCUGGGUGAAAAAUUAAAAGGAAAAAAUACAUCAUAAACAAAACGAUCGCGAUGGGACUCGAACCCACAAUCUCCCGCUCCGGAGGCGAGCGCCUUAUCCAUUAGGCCACGCGAUCACAAAUAUUUUCUUUUCUAUAAUAUUUAUGAAUGUUUAUUUGAGUAAACUAGUGUGUAAACAAAUGAUACACGUCUCAACGUAGAAUAAAUAAAAGAGAAAAUGAGAUACCAAAGAGAAAAAUAAACAAGUUUAGUAAAACAUCAUGAGUAUGUCUAUUGCGCUUUCGAAAAUAUGAAGAUCUCUAUACUUAUAAAUUAUUUUCGAUAAUAGAAUAUUUUAUUCGACAACCAGCUUCGUUAAAUAUUAUCUACGCUAUCAAAAUUAUUUAUAAAUCAAAUUUUAUAAUUUUUCGAUAUCACUUAUCAAGUGAUCAAAAAAUUUCAAAAUUGACCAUUUUAACGGACGGCGUGACACGUUUGUAAGUUCAACGGUAUAGAGCAAUCCAAUUUCAUAAAACUUUAAUAGAAAAUCAUAUUUAACAUCGAGUGCGAGAACAAUACUUUCGAUUUAAAAUUUGUGUAGAGCAAUCCAAUUUCAUAAAACUUUAAUAGAAAAUCAUACUUAACAUCGAGUGCGAAAAUAAUACUUCCGAUUUAAAAUUUGAGUCUUUUAUCAUUAUUUUUAUGAGAUUUUUAUUUUUAGCCGUUCAUUUUAAGACUAGUCGUUUGCUAGGCAAAUGAAGUUAAAAAAUUAUAAAAUUUGGUUUCUAAACAGUUAUAAUAGUGUAACUCAUACCUAACGGAACCGAUCGUCGAAUCAAAUAUUUCAUCAUCAAAAAUAACUUACAAGUACGGAGAUCUCCGUACUUUCGAAAACACAUAAGCCUAACUCAAAACAUCAGAUACAUUUGUUAGAAAACACUAGUUCUGAUCAACAAGUAUAAUACAACAUGAACAAACCAAUCCCUCAAACCAAGACAUUAAUUUUCUCACAUUCAAUCCCAAUAUCAAAUCCCAAAAAUAUACAUCUCAAAACAUAUCAAACACAACAUUAAUAUCAGAGGCUUCAGAACAAAAAAUAAUAAUAAUAAUAAUAAUAAAAACCUCUAAUACUAUCCUCAACAAUUGUUCGCCUUGCACCGAAACAACACUCUCUUCUUCUUGUAUGAGCUAUUCUCAAUGGCGAGAACGACUUUUCCGGGCUCGCUGUUCUUGUAUGAGUUUCUGAUUGUUUCUUCCUGAUACCCAAUUUUUUUCGGCUUUUGAAUAACAAUUGUGUAUGAUCCUUCAUCAAAGGGAACAAAUUCUUCUUUGUAGUUCACUUCCCAUCCAAGAACAGUUAAAUCCCACACUAGAGUUGUCUCAGCCUGUUUACACAAACAACAUUACAAAAUAACUCAUUUAUUAAUGUUUUCGACACAUACAAUUUGAUUAAGCAAAUAAAAAGCCAUCCCUCACAUUAUAUGACAGGAUUGGAUUCUUUAUUUCUAUAUAUCUAAUAUGGGACUAAUAGAAGGCAAGUGAUUAAUUUAUGCACCUGUGGUAGGGGGAUUUCGACAUUUUCGGUCGAUCCAGCUUUAACUACGAGCUCGGUAAUCGCGACAUCGUCACCACCGGAGAAUUCGACAUCGCCCUCGCGCUUUAGCCCACCGUAAGAAACAGGUAUGUUUUCGGCAGGAAUAUACCUGGGGAAAAAAAAGAAAAAAAAGAGCUCACAAGUUUGAAAAUGCUCAAAUAGUUACAGUUAGUGAAUGCAUGAAUAGUGGUUAGGAUCAAGUAAGUGAGAAUGGCUUACUUGAGGAGAGUUUCCGUGACCCUCCAAGGGCGCGCGAACACGAAUUUGCUCCUUGUUCUUAGGGUUAGGAAGGGCGAGAUGAGGGCGCUGAAUGCGUAGAACCAAAAGGGCACAUUGAUGAAGAUCUACAAAUUGAUCGUUUUCAUUUACCAUGCACGUACGACAAAUUAAAUUUUAGCAAAUUUAUCAUGCUUGCAUGUCUCAAAAGUAAAAAUAUAUGAACACAAGAAAACUGCAUCGAUCAGUGUAGGAUGCAUACGAUCAUCAACAAAUUAAACUAACUCAGUUUGAUAUAUUAAUGGUAGGAAUAGAUAUAUAGAUGAUUGCGGAGAAUCUAAUAAAUGAACAAAACUAACUCACGUUCUUUGCGACGAACUCAGGAUAAUUAUCCUGAAGCAGCUGAACAGCCUCCCUCGUCGCGAUCCGCAGCUCCUUCUUCGAGACCCCGGGCGAGUUCUUGAGGUCGAUAACCUGAACGAAUGACGCGGCGGCCCCCGGCCUGAACUCGAGCUCGCGAAUCCCCUCCUCCAUGACCCGCACCCUCCACCGCAGCAGCUCCUUCCUCCGCUCCUCCGUCCCGAACGCCUUCCGGUACGACUCCGCAUCCCCGAACGCCCCGAAAACGUUGUAGCACACCGGCCGCCCCUCGCGGUCGCGCCCGGCCACGAAGCAUGCGCCGCUCUUGCAGGGCCCCGCGCCGAGGGAGCUCUCCUCGAGGAUCGAAUCGACCUUGUGUUAAAUAAUAUAAAAUAACCGUUAUUCUCUAUAAAGUUCCCAGUAAUAAUAUAUAUUAAGAGCCUGAUAUAAUUCAAGUUCAAAGUUUUCUUCUUUGAUAUCAUAUUAGAUAAUACGAAACAAUCGUUAUUCUCUGAAAAUUUAAGUCGGUGGAGAAUAGUGUCUAAAUAUUUUUAUAUUUAAUACCUUGCACUCCUUCCUCCACCGGAGCGUGUUGCGGAUCAUGUCGAACGCCUCUCGCUCUUUGAACUCGCGGGCGCGGAGGAACUUGAGGAGGAGCACAUUGGCGCUCUCCGGUGACUUUGUUGUGGGCACCAGUGUUACUCCCCAUAGAGAGAUCCCGCGCUCUCUCGUUCCCUCCUUCAUGUUCUCUUCUUCCUCCUCUGUGUCGUAGAGCUUAUCGUUGUUGGCGACGGCGUCUUCGAGCAUCGACUUCAAGUCCAUUAAGGCCUUCUUCUCGUGGUCUUUGAGGUCGGUGAGGAAGUAGCUCUCCUCCUUAAAGGAGGAGCUUUUCUCCAUUAUGGAGCCGAGAGUCGUGUGCUCUUUGUCAUCUUCUGGUUCCCUGUGAUCAGCAUUGUUCGGCUCGGCGGCGGCGGCAACGGUUUCGACCUUGACGAGCUCCGUCAGGUCGUCGACGGCCUCGACGGGUUCUUCUUUCGGAGCGGCGAGGGGAUCGGCGAUGUGGGUUCCGUUGGAUUGGACUUCAACGGUCAUGGUUGCGCAGAGGAGGAAGGGUACUGUUUGGAUCAAAAGCACACCAAGAGGAAAAAGCUCUGUUUUUUAAGGUAGGGGGGAGGGUGAAACAGAGGAGCAGUUUGGAUGAGAAAGGGAUGUGGGAGGGGUUUCCAACGGCUAAGUUUUAUGUGAAAUGAAAGGGUUAGGGGAAAAUGUAUGGAUACACCCUGUACAAUCCCUAUAUUGCAACUGGAUAUCUCUUUAUUCGCUAAAAGUAAUUAAAUUACUAAGGCGUGGUUUGAUAUUAUUGUCUUUUUAAAAAAUUUUAUUUUUUAGUAGAAUGUCUGUAUAGUGUAGGAGGGAUUGAUAGAUUGCUUUGCGGGCAAUUAAAAGUAAGAUACUUUAAAGCCUUUUUUAAAAAUUAUUAUCUAAUAUUUAACUGGAACCCAAUAAGUAUUAAAAAAAUUUGGAUAGUAUAUCAAAUUAUAUAUAAAAUCAAUAUUUUGAAAAAUAAAUAUGCAACUUCAUAAACUAAAGAAACAUUAUAGGACCCAUUUGCAAUAUCGAUAUAGUAGAAGGACUAUCCAUAAAUGGGCCCCAGUAAGCGGCCGAUGAACUGGCGCCGUCAUUAAUGGCGUUGCAAGCAGAUUCUCUCUCUCUUCCUCUCUCUCUCUCAUAAACGUGGAUGUAUUAUUAUACUAAAUAUUAAUUAUAAAUAAGUUUUAUUAUUUUUAAAAAAAUAUAUAUAAACUUGGAGAAAUGAAAAGUAGAAAACUACUAAUACUGUGGGGCCAGGUCAAGAGAGAAAAUAAAAUAAUGUAGUUUCCACUCUUGCUUUGCAUUGUUAUUGGUGUCUCAUGUGCUUAAGCAUAGGAGCUAAUGUUAAUUCACUAUCUUUUUCUAUAUAAGGGUUGUUGUAACGAGAACACUGUCGUUUGCUUUUGCGAGUAUAUUACUAUAUUUUCCGAAUUUUGAUGUUAGAAACUAUUUCCAAAGAUCCAUUAAUUUGUGUGUUACUAUAUUGUUUAAUAGCAUUGUAGAAUUAAGAUAUGAUUCAAAUUUAGAUAUAAGAGUAUCAAAUUUAGAAACUAUUUCGAAAGAUCCCUUCUUUCUCUCCCACUAAUGUAUCUCUCGUCUUAUGUUACCUGACUAAUCUUAUUAUUAUUAUUAUUAUUAUUAUUAUUAUUAUUAUUAUUGUUAAUCCUGUGGACCCUAAUCCAAAUGUGUUUGGUGCACUAUAACAUGUGAGGAACGAAGGAGAUUUGCUGUCAAAGUUCCUUCCCUUAUAUUAAAUAGUUUUGACUCAUACAAUAUACUCUGCUUAACUGGCUUUCGCUGUUAUCUUCUUCAUCCUCUUACUCCCUCAUAAUAUGAAAGAAUCUAAUGCAAUUUCCUGUACUAUUCGGAGUCUCGAUGGCGCCAUUAUUAUCUUAAGCCUCCUCUCCUCUGAUCACCAAAUUGCAUGUUGGUUUUAGUGGAUUAGGAAUCAUGAAGAACAUUACACAGCAUUAAGAGGUGUCAAUUGGCUUUCGAUAAAAAAGAACACAUAAAGUUAUUGGAGUUAUACGGUCGUUGACUGUAAGCAGUAAUCCAGCUAAGAACACCAUGACUUGAACAGUAUAUUGUGUGAUGAACAAAGAAUAAAAACACUGCAUGUGUGCUGUAGCUGUUCAAUUUAUUGAUUCCAUUAAAUAAGCACAGUCGGAGCCCUGUAAACUUUUUUUUUAAAAAAAAAGAAUAAAAAGGCCAACCACUAUAAAAAGUAAAUAGCGCAAAACAAACUUCAAUCAUGCAAAGCCAGUUCAUCCUCUCAUAAUUUUUGUUGACAAUAACAUGCUACUAAAAUAGUUGUGUUGGAAUUUUUUUCUGGAAAAACAAAAAAAAAUUCACCACGUAACAUCGCAAAACAUACACCAGAACCUCAAACCCAUACAAAGUACCAUAAUUUUCUGGAGACAAGAUUACAACAUAAUGAUGGAAACUGGAGAGAUUUACGAUACAAAGAAAGAUGUCGAUACCAAGUGUAUUCUGCAUCAUAGGCAAACUCACCGUUCCACUUAAGUGUUAACGGAAAAGAUUGUUAUUAGAAGUUUGUUAUUUUUAUUGUAAGUCAACAAAUAAGAGUGAAAACACCAAUGCUGUGAUCCACAUAUUCAUACCAAUGAUCUUAAUUUUGCAACGGAAGUUUCAAUUAAUGGCAUAUAUUAGUACUCAAAAGUCGAGAAAAUUGCAUCCAGAGUCCUUAAAGGUUGAUAAGAAAAGAUCGGAGAUGAAUCUCUCUUUGUCAACUCAUGUACAACCAACAAUUCCGUACAGGUCCACCUCAUGUUCUUCAAAACGGAAUAAAUAUGAUGCAAGCAAGGCUGGUGCUGAAUAAUCUUAUGCACUAGCAACUUGAGUGGCAGCGACUGGGGUGUCUGAGUGUGAACCCCAUUCGGUCCACGAUCCAUCGUAGACUGCAACAUCAGUUUUCCCAAGCCGAUGGAGGCCCUGAAAUAAAAUGGAAUAUGUUAGUUGUGAAACCCGAGAUAAUCCUAUAUAUAAGAUAUAAUAUGGCUAAAACUUUAUACUUGGCUAUAGCAUUUUGGACGGUGGGUAAGCCUAAGAGGUUAAGAGAGUUAAGUGUAUUAGGACUAGAGUAGUUCUAGAAUGUGUGAUCCCCUAGGAAGUGGGGCAUCACAUUAGUCCCGAUUAAAACAAUGAUUAUUGUUACUUCACUUAGUUACAGCUAAUUAUCAGCCUCUAUACGAAGAAAGUAAAAAUGCAGCUAAAGACCCCCGCAGCUGUAGACCGUUAUGAAAUGACCCCCUGAACAUUAUAGUUUGCUGAUUGGCAACCCACAACGUCAGGAUUCAGAAAAAAAGGCAUUUUAGGGAUUGAAAAAAUUAGCUCGAAGUUGCGAAGAUACAAAAAAGAGGUUCUAAAUUGUGAAAAUGAAAAUAUGCAACUACACAGAGCGAGUAUGCAAAACGACCAAACAUUUUCUCAUUGUUCAGUUACUACAGCACAUACCAAAGCAAGUAUGCAAGCAGUCACGCCAGUACCACAAGAGGUAACUACAGGACUAUCAAGAGAGAUACCUGAAACAAGUUGACAAGCCAGAGUGAGAUAUUCGACAUAAUGCAAAAUAUUAGUCUAAUAUUCUUGUUCAACAUCCAGUGCAACAACUGAUACAAAAAUUGUUAAUGACACAAAGCCAUAAUUUUUUAAUAUUCAAGAAACUAUCCAAAGUUUUAUGGCAGAGUCAUUGCAGUGAAAUGACCAGUUCCCUUAUUAUUUGCAGCAAAGACUGUCUGACUUGGUACAAAUGACCAUUAUAGAUAUAAGAUUAUCCUCUAUGAAAGAUGUAUGACGUGUGAAUAAUGAAUUCCUUGCAUGAUAUGCAAUUUUACUAACGAACCUGUGUGCCAUUAUAUUUCAGUGUAAGCUAACAUCACGUCUAGAAUAUCAUUCAUGUAUAUAGAUAUAUAUAAGAUACGUGAUACGAUGUUCCAUUGUUAAUAUAUGAUAAGGUGUUCCAUUAUUAUAAGGCUUAAUAAUUAUAGCUCGUGAGUUAUUUUGGCCUUUCUUAAAAUCAUCAGAAUUUUCCAGAGAACUGAAAGCCACGAAAACGACCAAAAACUCUAGGAGACUAGCAGUGAAUUUUUUAACCUUGAAAAAUACUGCAUACGAGUCACAAUGAGCAAGAAAGAUACAUUUUGAUAGUACUAAAUAAAUUCCCACCUUCUUGCUCAAACCUUUUUCUAAGUUCGCUUGGAGGCAAUAACAUCUGCGAACUAUCCAGCAUCUGCAGAAAGUUAACAUACGUUUAAGUAGAAAAAACAAAUAUGAAAAUAAAAAACAAUACGAGCGAGUUCAGAACUUUUCAGCCAUCAAAAGGACCUCAUAUAUCAAAAAAGCAAAUCAGAUGCCAGGCUAUUAGCCAUUUGGAGGGAUAAUAAAUGUAGACAAAUACACCGAUGGCACAUAAAGGUUGACACUACGAUAGAGAGUAGAAGGCAGAAAUUCAACUAGAUUUUAACUGUAUGAAAACAUCCAGUUUCUCUUCUAUGCAUGUCAUAAGUUACAAGCUUCUUCUAAUCCAUGCAUUCAUAGACUUUCUUUACACACUGCUUUGAUGCACCAAAAUUACAAUAAGUCAAUUUAAAGCAGUGCGGCUAAUACUCCGACAGGUAUCUUAUAGAUAUUCUAAAGGAUACCGCAUAUGUAUACACACACAACUCGAAAGAUAUGAAAAAUAAUAAUAAAGAAAUGAAACAAAAUAUAUAACCACAUAAAUAUAAUCAGAUACCAAAAUUAGGAAAUUGACUGUAAAUUUCUACCUGAGCAAACGGAAUACAUUUACUCCCCGGCACAUGACCACCUCGUAUUCCCUUUCUUGGCUCUGGAGCCACACCGUCAAACCUGAAUACAACCAAACCAUUCACUAGUUACAUGCAAGUUCCUUACAAAAAUAUUCUGCUUUUCUGACAAAUAAAGAUAUCAAUAACUUACCUAGCUUUUGACCUAGCAUCUAUAUGCUGAUGUGUCUGGAGAUCAAUAUUCUGUUUAACCUGAAUGCAAAGAAAAAUCACUUUUGUUAUUUAAGUCAAAUAAUGUUUACUCUCCAAGCAUAGAUUUGAUAUAAUCAAAGACAGAUAUCACAGAGUGGGACCAGAUUUUCUCCAAGGCAAAGAACAUAAAACCAAGAAAUUAAUGAUGUUAGGAAGAGAGAGACAGAGAGACAUCGCAGAGAAAUGUCCCAACCUGUUCAAGUGUCCACAAAAGAUGAGGUUGCAACUUUGCCUCAAAAGUGGACGGGCCAACCUGCAAAAAGAACUUAACUCUAUAAGGAGCGACAAAACAUAAAGCUAACAUCAUCCACUGCUUCAAUCCAAAAACAAAGGUAACAUCAUCCAUUUCUACGAUCCAAAAACAAUAAUGCAAUAUAGAUACAUAGUUCAAACUGGAGUCAUAUGAAAAAUGAUUGCUACAACAAUUAACAUCAGCAAAAUGGCUAAGAAGACCGAAUCCACAAAUUCUGCAUGCGGGCGGGUGCGUGCGCAUGUGAAUUUUUCAAGCUUCUAGUGAAAAUUCAAUACUCUAGUAUUUCUCAAUUUCUGUCAAUUUGUUAUGAUACUAAAAUAUCAUUUUGUGCAAGAAGACAAAUGGCAUGCCUAAUAACUGGACCCAUGUGGGACCUCUAAAGCAGAUAAAAAGCUCUUGGAACUGAUUCAAGGGAAUGUAUGUUUAUAGGAAAAUCAGACUAUUUAGAGUGGGGAAAGUUUUUAAGGCGGAGAAAAUGAUAUAGACAAUUGACCUACUCACAAAUUGACACCUCUAGUAGACUGUAAAACAUCAGCAAGCAAUAAGCAUGUGCAGAAAAUAGGAAUGCAUGUUACAACAGAACUCGUGAACAAAUAAAGAGAUCUGCCUAGAUAAGAUAAAUUAAUUCGCAUUGUUUCAAAUAACAUACUGGUUGUCCUUGGUAAACUUUCUCAAUUGCUUCGCUAGCAGCACUGGCCUUCAAAAUUGCAUCACCAGAGGCACUAGAUUCAACAUCAUAUCCAGAAGCACGCCACUGUGGCAAACCUCCAUCCAACACCCAAACCUUAUCGUGUCCAAAGACUCGAAACAUCCUAUCAUUUAUUCCCCACAAAAAAAAAAAAAAGACUUAGCGAUCAUCUCAUGAAAAGAAUAACAAGAUAAAACCUAUUUUUCCAUGUAGAUAGCAUGCAGAAAUCAUAGCUUAAUUCAUAAAUUUUCAAGCACUUAAAUUUUUUCUAUUCAAAGCAUUAUUGGCAGUCUCCUACUUAUGAGUUCUGGAACAAUAUAAAGUGAUUAGGUGAAAAAUCAUAUAGAGUUAUUUCCCAAAUAAAUUUAUGAACUACGAAGACGUAAGAUGUAAUGCAUUUAAAAAGUGAUAAAUAUUCCAAUGAAGUUUUUGUAUUCGGUAAAGCUUCUCAGAAGAACAUGAGGAGUUCAAUAAGAAAAACUUCAGUUUUAGCAUCAAAUAUGAUAAUCCUGAGCAUCUGAUACAAUCUAAACUAAUUGCAUAAAGCUUAUCAGUUUCCAAGUAACACCUAUCGUUAGUUAGAUAUAACAGCUAUCAUUGGAGGAAAAUGUUUACCACCAUACACGAGCUGCACUGAAUAUCCCCUUUCCAUCAUAAACAAUUACCCCAUCCUUAUUAUAGAUACCAAGAGCAGAAACAGCAGCAGCAAAAGCUUCUUCUGACGGCAGCAUGUGAGGCAACUGUUUCAAAGACUUGCAAAAGUUAGUAGCCAUGCUCUAGAUAAAACUUCCUAGAAACAGAAAAAAACUGAGAUAACGAAAAAAAGAGAGCUAAAAUAUUUAACAGUAUCAACAGAGUCGUCACUAUGUUUUGUAAUGUCAAUGACAAGAGCAAAAUGAUAAUUACAGCAGGUUUAUGAGCAGUAACAAAGUGAUGGAUAUGGUCGCAUUUUCAAGGCCAGUCCAGCAUUCCUCAUUUGUUGGGAUAGGAAGGAAGAAAUGGAAGUCAGUAAAUUUUCAUGUUACUUGUCCACGUAUAGGGCCAAAAGAAAGUAAUCAUUCAUUAAGACAAUUAAUAUGCUUAACAAUUUCAGAUCCAAAGAAGACAAAUAGAAACUAAACCAAAGGCAAGAAACAAUGGUUGUCGAGUUCAGGAAACCAGCAGAGUGCUCAUAGAUACUGUAUAUGAAUUUGUCUUAAUUACGCAACUAAAUCUUUUAGAUAGUUUAAGAGCUCGACACUACAUGCAAAUCUGGGUGAUGCCAAUCUGACAAAAAUAAAAGCUAAAGCACAAACAUUAGUCAGCCACAUCAUGAGAGAUGAGGUGUAAUGAAAAAUCUUAGAAGAGCCGAACUUACAUUAGUUGUUCUGUCCGAAAUUCCAUCAACAUCAAAGAACAAAGCACCCGGAAUGUGGGCCACCUGAUUGUAACAGAAAAAGGGCCAGUUAGUAACAUUAAAGAAUAGAAAUUUGUACCAUUUCGAAAAUUGUAAGCUAAGCCUAAAAGUUUACAUACACAAAGCAUUUGCAAACAUCCUUUGUACGCAAUCUAGAAGGCUAACUUUAGAUAUAUCUUUGACAUAUCCAUCCCGUAAGGGUGCAAAUCUCACCAAAGAAGCUUUUACCUGAUAUUCUUGAAGCGGAUUCCGCUGCUCAUCUGGCAUAUACCAAGACGCAUCCAACACCUUUGAGAGAAUAAAAGGCCCGACAUUAAGAAAUUUAGAGAAAAAACAAAAAUUACUUAAUAUCUCCAUAGUUUAAUAAUUAAGAUCAUCAGGUUCACAGAUUGGUUAAAAAAUAUCUCAAGCAUGAUAAGCGCAUUAACUACAGUUUUGACCACAUUAGAACCAUAAGGCCUGCAAGCUUAAAGAAUGUUAUUGCAAAAGAAUGAUUGCUAUAACGGUCACAUCUUCUAACAACAAAAUUUCGUUCACACUUCACAUGAAUUUACUACCCACAAUAUCUGUAUAAUAAAACACAAGAUUAAAGUUAUAACCAGAGCACUUCACGAAAGAAAUAUCUGUUGAAAGAUAUUACCUAGUAGCAGAUUACAGCAUAAUUAGCUAAUAAUAUACAAAUCGAAAGUGGAAAUAUAAGUAUACCUUUACAUCUGGCUCUUUGAGAUUGGCAUGAAGCCAUUCAGCAGAAACAACAGGUUCAUUAUGCGGCACGGAAUGAAUCGCCAAUGUACUCAGUCUCAUGCUAGAUGAAGCGGUUACAUUGCAUCGAGCAAAACCGAAAGAUGGGGGAACAAAAGAUAAACCGUGCGCACGGACAUAAGGCGCUUUAUUCUGCAGAUAAGAAUUAUAAAGAUACAAGAACAUCAGCUAGACAUAUUAGCAAAGAAUAUUUGCAUGAUAAAUAAAAGCAUGAAAAAAUCCGAAAGACAAAAUAUAUCUUUUGAAUGCAUAUACAUAUCCCUGCAAAGUAGUGACAUUGUAGCUUUAUCCCUCAAAAGUUUUUAUAAUCAAAUAUAUGCAUCUUUGCAAAUAUUUCCCUCCCGUACUUCAUCAGUUUAAGUUGACUUCUAUAAAAAUGAGCAUUCUAAUUCUGAAUUAAUAUCUUAUAAGUACUAAUGAAGUCGUUUUUCAUUCUAAUUAACUCUGCUGUAACUCUCACACAAUUCCACAUAAUCCCUAAAUCCUAAACCCUCAACAAAUCGUAAAAAAAAAUGUUUUGUUUUUUUUUUUUUUUAAAAGGCACAACCUUGGCAGGGCAAAGUUGCAUAUCUUGGAGAUGAUUAAACUUUGCAUGAAUAAAUUCGCAGUUUCGAAACUUUAUGCGAACCCACGUGCAAUUACCCAAGAAAUCAAACUCUAAAAAGCCUAAAACCCAAAAUCGCCCAUGAAAACUAAUCAAGCCACACAAAAAACCACAUCAAGAACACGAAUUCACAACAGUUGCGAUAUGAGCAGAGACCGGCGGGAUCAGAAACCCCAAAACAAGGAGGAGAUGUGAUGCGUAACGAAGCAAGGGAAGGAGAGUUUCCUUUGCGAAGUGGCCGCAGAACCUCGUCGCCUCGCGCGAAGGGCGAAUCGAGGGCCGGAUCGAGCGGAGCCCCCCCGCGAUGGCGCGGCUCACGAGGGCGGAGGCCAUUGUUGAAGAGGUGGCAGGAGACGAUGACGAUGACGAUGACGAUGAUGAUGAUGAUGACGGGGGAGACGAUGCUGGUGCCGCGAAGCUUAUAAGAGAGUAGAGGAGGAGGACGACGAGGAGGAGUCGACCAUCGCCGCUCACUAAACCCCCGGCUUUUCUUCUUUGUCGCCCCACUGGUUUUCUUUUUCUUUUCUUUUUUUUUUUCUUUUUCCUUCUAAAUUAUUCCAAAACCCUCUUUUAAUUUCCCCAUAUUAUUACGGUGGGUAGGAUUUGUACGUCGUUUUGGACUAGCCUUUGUAUACUCACAUAUGGAACCUUUCAUUUAUCAGUUUUAUAAUAUAUCUAUUUAUAGAAAAUUAUUUCAUUAAUUUAUAAUUUUUUAUAUAAACGAACUCUAAAAGUAUAUAUAUUACUAAAAUUCAUUAAUAAAAUUUUCCAAAUUUAAUGGCUACUAAUUGAAUUAUUAAAUCUAACAAAAUUUCCAUCUCCAAUUUUUACAAGCAAACUCGCGUCCUGUUACAUUACAAAACCACGGUACGAGGCCCGGGUUCCGCACCAGGUUCUAGUACGAACACUCACUCGUCAGUACCUGCUUCAAAAACAAAUGGAAACUCAUUACUACCAUAAGAAAUGAGACAAAGCUUUGACCUUUAACAGCUUCCUACUGCGAGUAAAAAGAUAGAAGUUCGUUGCAUUACAGCUUCUCGCUCCUCGCUGCAGCAAAAGUUUUAGACUUUCGAGCUCUCAAACACGCGAACACUGCUUUUUGGGGUGGAGCAGAAAAUUUUAUCCUCUCUUAUAAACAAAUCACAAUUCCGGACUUACUGCCAACCUCUACAGCACUGCAACCUGGUGAUUUCCUUAGACCUCUCUCCUUCGCCACACCCAUAACAUCUUUCACAUUCUCCCACUUCUCAUCAAGUGCAUAGAUAUAAGAUAACAAACUAUAAUACCCACUGUGGUCAGGAUUCAGCUUAAACAAUUUACUCGCGACCAACUCGCCGAUCUCGGUGUUGUGGUGCAUUCUACAGGCCGCAAGCAAAGCGCACCAAAUAUGCGGGCCGACUGGACAGUUCAUGCCUUCGAUUAUCGUCAUCGCCUCUCGUAGCUCUCCAGCUCGGCCAAGGAGAUCAACCAUAAUGCCACAGUGAUCUGAAUUGGGCCGGACGCCAUAGACCCCGCUCAUGCUUUCGAAGAUCUUCUUUCCUUCUUCGACUGAACCUGCAUGGCUACAUGCUGACAAGACCGAGACGAAUGUUACGCUAUUGGGUUCGAUUGAUGAUUGGAUCAUGCGAUCGAAGGUUGCGACUGCCUGAUUUCCAAGGCCGUGGAUUCCGUAACCUGCGAUCAUCGAACUCCACAAUACCACAUCUUUGUCGCGCAUUGUUUCGAACACUUGAACUGCGCCUUCCAGGCUUCCAGAUUUCGAAUACAAAUCGAUGAGCGCAGCCCUCACAAACACUUUAGAAUCGAAACCGGACGUGACUAAGUAGCCGUGGAAGCAAAGGGCUUGGCGAAGGAUAGCUAAUUGCGAGCACGAAUUGAGAACUUUUACUAUUACGACUGCGUCGGGAUUGAAUCUAUCGGAGAGCAUGCUUUGAAAUAGCUUCAAUGAAUCACUAGGCAUACCAUUUUGGGAAAGACCGCCAAUGACUGCAGCCCACGAGACGGCAUCCUUUUCCGGCAUUCGGCGGAAGAGAUCCAUCGCCUCAUUGCAGCACGAACACUUCAUAUACAUAUCGAUAAGAGCAGUGGAAACUGAUGUUUCCAGUUCGAAACCUUUUCGAACAGCAACCUCGUGCACCCUCCUACCUUCAUUUAGAUCGCAAGCAAUUGCGCACGCCUGAAGAACGCUAACCACAGUGACCAAACUGGGCUCCAAUCCUGCUUCAACCAUCAUCUUAUACACUUUAAGAGCUUCCGAAGGAUCUCCAUGUUGAGCAUAACAUGAAAUCAUGCAACUCCAAGUGAUGACGUCUCUCUUAGACAUCGUACCGAACAGCCUCUGCGCAAUUCCAACUGCACCCAACUUCACGUACAAAUUUAGAACAGAAUUAGCCAGUGAGAGAUCGCCGCCGAAGCCCAUCUUAAUCACAAACCCAUGGCAUGAUUUCCCCGACCGAAUAUCCCCCAACUGCGCGAGAGCCGAUGCUACACUAACAAGCGUCACCGGAUCCGGAACCACGCGUUCCCCGACUAUGGCGCGCGAAAAGAACGAGACGGCUUCUUCAGCGCAACCAUUCUGCUGGUACCCAGAAACCACUGAAGUCCGAAGCACGACAUCCGGUUCGGGAAAAUCGUCGAACACCUUGAGAGCACUACCCAUGUCCCCGCACCUAGAGUACAUCUCAACGAGCGCCGCGCCCACGAACACAUCGGAAUCGGCGAUAAGGGCCCUCACCGCCGCGGCGUGCACGGCUUUGCCGUGGACCCGCGCGGCGAGGGCGCCGCAAGCUUUGAGAGCGAGGGGCAGCGUGAAAGCAUCGAAAGGGAGGGACUCGGCCAUGCGGCGGAAGAGGCGGAGGGUUUGGGGCCAUCGGCGGGCGCGGGAGUGGGCGCGGAGGAGGGCGUUGUAGAGGAAGGUGUUUGGGUGUGGGAUAUCGUCGAACACCUUGUGGGCGGCUGCGGCGGAGGAGACGCGGGCGUAGGAGGCGGUGAGGAGGGUGGCGAAGAAGCAGUCCGGGGCGGCGACGAGGCCGCUGCGGAGGAGGAGGGAGUGGAGUUGGGAUGCGGAGGCGACGUCGCCGCACGAUUUUACAAGUUUGGAUAGCGAUUCUCGGCUCCUCAUACAUGGAGGAGUCUCAGCUAUACAUUGUCCUCGCGUUUAGAAUAGAGUUUAAGAAGAAAGUGAAAAAUGUGUGGAGACCCCCUUAAGUACAUUCGAUUCUGAACAUGCCCCAAAUUUUUUAAAAAUUUAUUUAAUAAUUUUACUGAAAUAAAUUAAAAGAAUUUUAUCAAAUUUGAUAGUUUGCAUUCAUUUUAAAAAAAAUAAUUUGUUGAGGGGAUGUCACAACCAAAUGAUAGUAACAGAGGAUCUUUUCCUUCAUAAAAAGAAGAAAAAAAAGGAAUGCAAAUUGAAUAGAAAUACAUCAGGGCCAGCAUAUUGUGUGCCAGUUGAAAAUUUUACUGCCUUAUAAACCUUUUGACAUCAGAUAUGUAGUACUAUUCAAUAAAGAAAAAAAAUUACAGAGAUACAGAGGCAAAAAAGUACGCAGAUAAUGAGUUUAAAUCAUGCUUCUGAGCUCUGAGCUUCAAAGUUACUCGAGAACGCUUUACAUCGCGCAGACGAAGGGAUUACCAAGGAAUUUCCUGACCGUCCCAAGCGAAGAACUUCCCAUUAUCGCUGCUCUUAACAUUAUCGAUGAUAUUCAGAAGCUUUUGCACGGCGAAUCCUUUGGUGAAAAGCUUACCCUCCGGUACGUUUCGCUGGAACGGUCGUGAAAGGUCGGUGUCGACAGUUCCCGGAUGCAAUAGAAUGCAAACAAUUGGAUCCUUCUUCCGAGAAAACUCCACAGAUACAGUUUUCGUCACUGCAGAUAUAAAUAGAUGAUUCUGUAAAUUGGACUAAUCUAUGCAAUUAUUGACAUUGGCACUGAUCAUUAUCAUCCAAACCAGUGAGGCAAAGAACACUAUUCCCAAUUCUUGGUUUUGAGGCCAUAUAUUUCCAAUCAUAGUACCCUCCUACAAUACCGAUACUCUCGCACUUGAAAUUCCGAAAAUUCUUCAGUUAGUAAUUUUAGAAAUGAGUUAGGAAAUAUCAAACAUAAGUCGCAAGUACGAAGCUAAGUGUAAUGUACGUAGAAUCAUGCUAACAACUAACACUGCUGCUGAUAAAAUACGUCAGAGAAUGAAAAGAGAAAGCGAGUUAAAUUGCAUACACUGAUUUAGCGCCGCUUUUGAAGCUCUAUAGGAAUGCCAUCCCCCCAAACCGUUGUCGCCGAUGGAACCCACUCUAGCGCUUAAGUUUGCGACCACGGCGAAUUCUCUCUCUGUUCCAGAGCCUCCACCCAUCUUCAGUAACGGCCACAUGUGCUAUUUAACAUCUCUUCUCAUAUCAAUCUCAAGCUGCACUUUUUUCAUAAGCAGAAGCUGAAAGAAAUUAGUGAGAAUACACUCUACCUUAAUCACUAAGAUGGGGCCGACGGCAUUAACUUCGUAAGUUAGCAGCAAAGACGACUUCUGCACUUUGCUCAGUGUUGUUUCUGAAACCAUCAUUAAUUCAAAAAAAAGGUUUCAGCGAACACAAUCGUGAAUUCGCCUAGGAAUCAGAUAAAUACGAAGCAUUGAGUUAGAUCCAUCCGCGAACCUGGUUGGAGUACAUUAGGUAUCGAAAGAAUUCCCGAAGUAUUAACGAGUAGGUUAAGCGAUCCGUAUGUUUCACUAACAGCGCUUGCUGCCGCCUGCCACGACAUACCGUUUUCAGAAAAGUAAAGCUGUCUCUUAAGAAUAAAAACUUAGAAAUGUUAUAAAUAUCUAUCCAUAUUAAAAAAGAAAAGAGAAACAUCCGCACUUUCAAUUGCAAUUGCAAAUAAUGAAGCGAGAAUAUGUCUCUGAUGAAAUGAUGAAACAUAUACCUCUAUGGUGGUUUCAUUCGUCACGUCCAGCGGGAGUAUGUUAAGGCGAUUUUCGUAUUCUUUUUUCAGUUUUAGAAGAUCGGCUGCGCCGUCGGGGUUCCGACAUGUCGCGACGACGCGCCCCUCUUCACUCCUCUUCAACAAUUGCCUCACCUAUCAUGCAUACACCAUGCACUACAAAGUUUGAGAAUGCGAAUGCGCCGAAGUUCACACUCAUUUAUCUAAAUACUAUGUUACAAAGUUUGUGAUGCUCUAUUUUUUGGCCAUAUGAACUGAGAAUUUUGUUAACAAUUAACUGCUCAUACUUGUUGUUUGAUUUUAACAAAAAAUACACUGUAUCAUUAGCUAAGAAGUGGAGAAACCCAACAAACUUAAUAAAAUCAUCAUUCAAUCUAAGCAAAUUCCCAAUUCAUUUGAUAACAACGGCUCAAAUCAAAAAAUUAACAUAAUUCGAGAGAGCGUUUGUUUAAAUAAAAAUAAUAAUAAUAAUAAUAAAUAAGUUAAGAAAGCAAAACUAUCUGUCUCAAAAUUGCUCGGAGUUGAGGGAAAUUUCAUACAUUUUAACACCAAAUUUUAAAUAAAUAAUAGAAAAAAACAGAGACAAAAAAGUGGGGGGGGAGGGGGAAUUAAUAAAGUAUACGGACGAAUUCGAGGCCGAUUCCUCGAGAAGCGCCCUGCACCAUCGAAACGCCGCCUUGGAAUCGCGUCGCGGCCGCAGCCGCAGCCGCGGUGGAGAACGCGGCUUUUCGAAACGACGACGAUCGCAUCGCGAGCCGCGGUGGCGCCACCACAAGCUUCAGCAUGGGCUUUUUUAUUUUGUUGAGUAUAAUAAAUAAUAUACCGGUUUGGGCCAAGCCUUUUUACUUUUUCUCUCUCUUUUUCUCUUUUAUUUAUAAUUUAUUUAUUUUUUUCUCACAACACUUUAAUGCGAUGGUUAAAUAAAAAAAAAAAGAAAAACUUAUCUCCCAAUAUGCACUUAAUUUUUAAAAAUAAAACCUCUCUACAAACCUACUAAUCAUUUUUUUGUCUACGGGCCUUCAUUCUAAUUUCAUCAAAUAUUUAUUUUUAACGUCAAAAUUAAUUUUACCCAAAUUGUCUUUAUGCUUCUCCAAUUUCUUUCAUAUUCGAAAUAUCAUGAGAGAGAAAAGAGAAAGAUAAAAUAAAAAAUAUAUAUUGGCCAUUUUAUUAAUUAAUUUUAUUAAUUAUGUUUUUGAUCUUCCGGAGGAGUUAAUAUACCCCUCCAACGAAGUUCAUUAAAUUAUAAAAUCCACAAAUCAAUAUAAUAAUAAUAAUAGAUUCAUGCACUUGUACGUACGUGUACCGCUUCUUCGUUUGGCACCAGAGAGUAGCACGUUUCCACAAUCUCAACCACUACUUUUGCACAUAAAAAUGCACGACAUGCACUUCACAUGAAGCAAAGAAACUGGAGUAAUAAUAUGAACAAUUAAACCAAAGCCAAAGUUAAUUAAUGACCUUGGUUUUAUUACAUAACAUUAGGUUAAUGGACAGUGACCACACGCCAUGCAACGCAUGCAUACCAUACUUAACCAUCAAAAUUCAUUGUGAACUCUUCAUAAGCGCGACUAAAUCAGUACGCAUAAAGCUUUGCUAACUCCUGCAGCGCACCGUCGUCGGCGUCGACCUCCGGGUCCGCGUUCUCCAGCAUCCACAGGAGGUGAUCAAACAAAACGACCUCGCACUUCACCGAUAUUCCAUCCUCCGUGUUCCCCUCCGACCGAUCGAUCAGCGCAUCCAGCAGUGGGUGAUUCAAGUGCUUCGAUCGUAUGACGUAUCGGCGUCUCGAGCUCCCCACGAACACGACGGCUUCACGAUCUUCAUCUUCGUCGUUCAUCAUCGCGGUCGCGUCCCAGAAAUCCUCGUCUCUAGCGGAUUGCGACCGUAAGCUGCUGUAGGAAGAGGAUCUCCCCAGCUUUGAGAGGCUCCUGCACUUCCUAAGUAUCACACUUAUCUUCUUCAUCUCCUAAGAUAAAGAGAGGAGGAGAGGGGGGAGGAGAGGGGGACGAGGGAUAUACAAGCUAGUGACAUGAGCUAGCGUAACUUAAUGUACACUCGAACUAGCUAGUUAGUAUGAUUGUCAAAUGAAUAUUUGUAAUAUGGUAGGUGCGAUAUCGCUAUAGGCAGAUAACUAAGAAGGGCAUUGGUCCCGUUCCUACGACCUAACGAAGCUAACCCAACCAAUAUGGGUCCUAAGCCCGUCAUUAAUGUUAGGUCCCAACUAUACAAAAUUACGCAAGGCUUAAAUUAACUAAAGUGUGCACUAAUUAGAUAUAUGUAGCUAAGAAUAUAGCUGUAAAAUGAACAACUUCUACUAGUUAUAUAUUUAACUCGUACUUUACUACAAGCAACCGUGGUCAAAUUAUCCAAACACAUGCCUCGAGCACGGCUUUCACUCAGAUUAUUAAGCAACUAUUUGUUAUAUUCUGACUUAAUCUGGUAAAUUAGAUCCAUGCAAUCGUGAUUAAGGUUGUGUUUUUAACCACAAAUUCAACUUUAAAGCUUAACCUCCAUAAGCAAUUUAUACUCAGCUCAGGCUCUCGUGUCCACAGCAUGGUUCCGGAAGCUUCCGUCUGAGUCCAAAUAUGUCACCAAAUGAUAAGUGGUCCAGGUUAAUUUGACAGAGGGCAAAGAGGAGAACCACAACCAAUUUGGUCCCAACCAGACACUCUGGGCCCAGUUGGAGAGACGGUCCAUGUUUCCUCGUACUUGGCGUGGUGGGCCCCAUGACCGCAUGUAUGUCUAGUUUCGUGAAAAAGUUCUAUAUUAUAAUACUUAAAUCACAUCAUCUAUCCACAGCCAAUCACAUCUCUCCUUUUGAAAGUAAAAUACAACAAAAGUAUUUCUCUAAUAAGCAUGAUAAAAUGGAUCUGAUUGGUUGCGAAUACCACAUCAACAAUAUAAGUGAUGCAUUUUCCACGAUGCAGUUGUGGGGGAUGGGCGCGUGGCGCCCACUUCAAAAGGUUUGCCUCGCUCGGUUUGGGCUGGUGGUUGAUAGGUCAGGCUCGGACCCGACCUCGAGUUUGGAAGGUAGCUGCAACCGCCCACAUGGACAUGAGGAAACAGUCCAUGGGCUGGGCUGUCGCCUCCACGCUCCAAAGUGGGCCCCUGCUCUCCAUAUUGACCGCCCAUUUUUACACAUGAAUUUACUUGGGGUUCUAAAAGGUUUGUUAUGUAAAGCUUGAAUUAAACUUGCAGUACAACCACCGAUUACAAGGGGCCUUUUCGGUGAUUGGAAGUGCAAUACGAGAUUUAACAGCAAUAUAUCUUCUUAUAUUAAAAUCCGACUCAUAAGCUACAGUUUGGUAGCGUUACUCCCGCAAUAAUGCUUCAGAACUUAAAAAUGAAUAGACAACGAUUUUAAAUAAAAAAUGUUAUUUGACUUUAACGAAUUACCAGUUGAUACCGACAUAGCCUAAAAUGGAUUUUCAGAUGCUUCAAUACCCCAAUCGGACAUAAGACCGACAAGCAACUGAUUUGGUAUAGCAACUUUCUGCCUGAUCAAGACCAAUCUGCCAGAAAACCCAACAAGUUGAAAAAAAAAAAAAAAAUGCAGCACCAAAGUAGGUCGACUACUUUUCAGGAAAAGAUUUUUUUUUUUUAAAAAAAGGAAAGGAAAAGGACCACUUUUAUAACCACCAGAUCAGGCAUGGUUCCAUCAACAUGAAUCUAAUUAUAAUCAACAGGUUCUAAGGGCCCAAAAAGUGAAAUUUAACAGGGUGCAACAACUGAUUGCCAACAAGGUUGCUUCAGAAAUCGAAAGUAAUACAGCUUCCUCUGAAAGCUCCAUUAUUAUCCACUAUGUAAUUAAUGGCGGCUUAAGUCCAAGCUUAACUCCGAAGAAAGAGCAUAAUAACUCACUAAAAGAGUAUAGAUUAGCCCUGAAGCAACAGCAACCGCCAAUGUUAUUAUUUAAGCCAAUGUUUUAAGAUACAGUAUUGUGUGUCCCGUAAGCUACCGAUUAAGGCACAAAGAGUUUGUAGCUAUUCAUCUUAUCUAUUUCACGAAUACAACACCACAGUAUAAGUAUUGUCCUUCCUCUUGUCAAAAACAAGUGUUCAACUUGUCUCGCAUAGCACAUCACUCUAUGGUUUAUGAAUCAUGCGGGCGACCAUGUGGGAAUUCACACAAGAUUGCCUGAAGAACAAAUGAGCAAAUGUUACUUACUGAAGGUAUUAUCAGACGUUGAAACGGAAGAGCAUGACAUCUCCCUCCUGUACAACGUAAUCUUUUCCCUCCGAUCGCAACUGCAUUUAGAAGAAUUUAUUCAUUAAUGAAAUUAUUCUGCCUAUGUAACUUGUCUCAUAAGUAACUAAUAGUUGGAUUUAUUGGAAAGAGCAAUCUUACUAGCCCUUUUUCCCUUGCUGCUGCAAGAGAACCAGCUGCCACAAAAUCAUCAUAGGAUACCUGCCAGGUUAUUGUCACUUUCGAUCAGCUAAGAACCUAAUAGAAUGCACUUCUGGAACCAAAAGCAGUUCCUACUUGAAGCAUACUACUUCUGCUCCACAAAGAAGCUGUUGAAGGAAUUUUACGUAAAAGCAGUCUGUGCUUCUCCAAACAGCUGGAGCCAAAAAGCGCUGCUUCAGAAGCCCCAAAUCAGAGCUGCUGCUUUUGAAGUCCCAAAACUCAUUAAAGCAUUCAACAAAAACAGAAGCUACAGAAUUUUCUGUUUGCCAAACAGUGGCUCUUAUCCAUCAUAGAAGUAGUUCUAAAUAAAUGCUCACAGAGCAUGAUUGCCUUUUGCAUAUUCAAAGUUCCAAUCAAACCAAAAACCCUUGUCUUCCAAGCCAAAACAGAUUGAUGUAAAUGUUCUCUUAAAACAAACUAGCAUGCUUUGCUUUGCUAAAGCUGUUGCUUAUUCAUUGCCAACCUAAAUUAGCAAAACCAGGGGCGCAUCAGCAUCAUUUAAUUGCACUGCUUAUUAACUUAAAAUCAAAUUUUCUCACAUGUAGCGCUUCAGCAGCCCCAAGUAGCAAAAAUCCAACAUAUCAAGAAACCUGAUACUUACAGUCUCUGCUCGAAUGAAGCCUUUCUCAAAGUCCGAAUGAAUAACUCCUGCAGCUUGAGGUGCCGUCAUACCUAGUAGUAAAAAAUUAUUAGUUACAAAUUGACUGCAUUUAAUAGGAAGAAAUAGUCGGUAAGUGGGGAAAGAAAACCAACCAGCAAGUAUCGUCCAAGCUUUUGUUUCCUGAAGGGAAGGUAGAACAGAAACAAAAAUGAGAUGAUACCUAAUUGUAGAUUUAUCAUCAUAUAGGAAUGGUAGUUUAGAAGCUCCACCUUUUCUCCUGAUGUAAAGUAAGUCCUCAAACCCAAAAGAUUAUACGUCGCUCUUAUAAGAUUGCCCAGUCCACUUUCAUCAACACCAAGAGACCUCAAGUACUCAAUUCUCUCAUUUAAGGGAAGUUCAGUCAGCUCUGCUUCAACCUGAUUCCCAAUUAGGAAAAAGAACUGACGAAAUAAGCACUAGAACAUCCCUUCUGAUUCUUAAUUGAUUCCAAAUACAAAAAACAAAGCUGAUUCCUUUUCCUGAACAGAAGCUUAGAUAUUACGCAUGGCUUACAGAGCAUGUUGACAAUUUCAUUAAGCGCAACAGAAAUUAAGAAGAAUUUUUGCAUGAAUCACAUUAUAAUUUCAGGAAGCUGCAAUGUAAUAUGAGUAACAGAUAUGCUAUCAUCAUAAGCUUCUUCAGAAAAAAUAAAAUAAAAUAAAAGGAUUCAAUAUUGCUUGUCAUUAUUAACAGUAAAUAUUAGUUUAAGGAUAUGAUUGUACAGAAAUUAGUAAAUUACUGCUCCAUAUGUAUCUGCUUUGCCUUUAAAUGCAGAUGUCCAACCAAAACUUCAGUUCACACCACCUUUAUAUUUAGCCUUUAGUUGCAGGUACAGAAACAGAGCAAUAUUUUUAGGUUGCAGGUAUGGAAACAGAGCAAUAUAAACUUAAAUACAUGUAAUGCUUAGGCAACUAUUGAUGGAACUCAUAUCUACAAAAAAAAAAAAAAAAAAAUCAAAAGGUGUCUCUAGGACAUUAGACUGACAUAUAGCAACAAAAUUAUAUGAUCUGGAUUCUGGACAUCACUUUGUGAUCAAAGGGACAUUUAGUCAAGAUUAUCAACAAAACCUGUGCUGAAAUUGUAACCACCCCAGAUUGCAACUCUGAUGCAAGAUUUUCCACAUCCUUGACGUGAAGAUUACUAGAAGGUUCCGCAAGGUCAGACUCAGCCACAUUAGCCACAUAUAUCACAGGUUUCAUUGUUAGUAAACAGAGAUGCCGUAUAGAUUCUUUCUCAAGAUCCGUCAAUGAAACAGAUCUUGCAGGUUUUCCAUCCACUAGGGCCUUCUGAAUUUUUUCAAGUGCUGACCUCUCAGCUUCCUCCUGAAAUUAUUGAUCUGACAAUUAUGAGAAAGCCCAGAAACACAAUGACUUGCACCGUAUCUCCAUAUUUUGUAUAGUUUACCUUUAGUUUUGACUGGGAGUCUUUUGCUUUUCCUUUUUUAAGUUUCUCUAACCUUUUCUCUAUCUGCACUUCUUAAUAAAGAUAUAUAUCAGUCAUAUCAGUAGAAGGAAUAUUUACAAGACUUCCAGCAUAGAAAACAAGAACUGUGACAAAAUGUCUUUGGUGGAAAUUACCUUCAUACCUGGUCAAGAUCAGAGAAAACCAGCUCUAAGUUGAUGACAUCAAUAUCUGACUUUGGAUCAACUUUCCCAUUCACAUGAACAACGUCAUUGUCCUCAAAGCAGCGCACUACCUGUUAAACCCAGUAACCACCAAAAACGUCUAAACUAAUUGUGAUAAACAUCCACAACUAGUUGAGUAUCAACAUCAUCUGCUUGUGACUGUAGAUAAAUGAAGGACGCUAAUAGCUAAAUUAUACUGGAUCUCGCAUUCACCAUGAAGAUAUGCCAAUAUAUAGUUUUUAAAACCUUACUAACAUAGAUAUAGGAAUAAAUAUCACCUUAUCUACUAAGUUUUUAUCAUCAUGAUUAUAAUUACCAAUAUCAAAUAAAUGUAGAUCACGAAUUUAACACAAAAUUUAGAUGCACAGUGCAAUGAAAAAGAAAGAACGAGCACAUUGCAAGGAAAAUAACCUGGAGUAUGGAAUCAACUUCACGGAUGUGUGAAAGAAAUUUAUUCCCUAAUCCCUGUAAGAUAGGCAUUCAAUCAGAAGAACACAAUAGAAAUAAGCAUACACAUGCUAAAGGAACCCUAAAAAUCACAAUAUAUCUAAAUACCGGUGAACAUACCAGGAUAAGAGAGUGAAAUCAACUAAUUUUCCAUUAUGACAUGAUUCACUAUACAGUUUCAUAAACUGGACUAGAUGAUCCAGUUAUCAAGUUACACUUGAGUCAACAAGCACUUCAUCUAUAUAAUAACACGCCAUGGUACACCAUACACCAAAAGCAUAACAAGCGAAAAAGGUAUUCCUGCCAGAAGCUCGAAUCCUUGAAAUUUGAAUACAGUAAGGGUGUAAGAUACACUACAUCAGUAUUAGAAGGUUAGAGGUCAACUGUAGGCCCUAUAUGAAGACAAACCACUCCAAUCAAGAAUAGCAUACUUCUACUGGGAAGGAUAAUUAAUUGUCAAUACGACAAGACACAUUGAUAAUGAUUAAAGUUAGCAUUAUGGGCCACUUUUGCAUUUCCUAUAUCUCAUCCUAGAAAAUCAGCUUAGUUAGGAUAGUUGCAUAUAAUGGCAUCAAUCAAAAUAAUAACACAAGAAAGUUUCAGUAUACAAAUUUACAGACCGUCCCUCUGAACAGACUCAUGCUGAAUAUAACUAUUUGUGGACCGAAAAGAGUGCACAAGCAGCAAGAUGAACAACCAUUGUUCUAGAUUUCUUUGUGGGAUUGCGAUAACCAACGUAGCAUUUCAAAAUAAAAAAGGUUUCUCCAAUACUUUACUAGCAAACUCGAUGCAUACAAAUGUACCUACAGAGGCCACAAACUGGACCUAUCCAUAGUACAGACUACAGAGUCUCCAUGUAUAUCCAAAAAUGCUGAAUAUGCAGGAUUGCAUCUUAAACCAGGAAAAACAUUAUACCUGUUAGAACUAAAACCGAGAAGAUCUAGUUCGUCGGAUGCGAAAAUACCAAAAGAGAUCCGAGAAAGAGAGAAGAAACAUAAAGCACAUAAUAUUUACGUGGUUCGGCCAACGGCCUACAUCCACGGGCGAAGACGGAGCGGAGAUCUUCAUUAUAAUCAAAGUGGUGUACAAAAUAUGCCUCUCUCACAAAACCCUAAUCCCAAAAAUACACCCAUAUUCCCUCUCUCAUCUUUCGCACUAAACUAAAGGAAUAAAGGGUAUAUUUAUAAUAGUGGUUAAAUCCUAAUACAACUAGGAAUACAAAUCCACUAAGAUUAGGAAUAUCUCAAUAAAUUAGGCAUAAUCUAAACUUAAUUUAAUGGGGUAAUUAAAACAGAAUAGGGUUAGAAAACCUUGCGGUACUAGAAUUCGAGACAUAUUUAACAAUACCUCUCCUUGACUGGCUCCUUUGACAAGGCCGGCGAUAUCAACGAACUCGAUCGAUGCUGGAGCAACUUUUUGCGAUUUACUCAGCUCUGCAAGCACAUUCAAACGCGGAUCCGGCACACCAACAAUGCCGACAUUUGGCUCUAUCGUACAGAAUGGAAAAUUGGCGGCCUGCGCUUUCCCAUUCUCAACCUAAAAACCAUGAAUUAUUAUAAAUAACAACAUAUCAUCAUAUCAUCCAUCGUACAAAAUCCAGCUCUCAGAGACAAAACAUCAAACAGAUCGUUGCGUACAAGUUAAAAUGUAAAAACUGACUUGCUCGCGAAAUAUAUCAAAAAAAUAAAAGUGGAGACGAGUUUAUCAACUAGGGUAUCGAUUUGAAUGACAACGAAGUGACGCUGCGAAGUGUGGCGAGCUAGAUUUGAGAUUGGGGUGGGGUUUUGUGGGGGAGCUUACGACGGCGUUGAAGAGAGUGGAUUUGCCAACGUUGGGGAGGCCGACGAUUCCGGCCUUGAGGCUCAUGCUGAGGCGCGAGGCGGAGGAGGAGAAGAGGCGGCGCCAUUGCCAUUGGAGGAGGAGAGGGGAGGAGGAGCACGACGAGUAGGAGGAUGAGGCGGAGGAAGGGGCACGACUAAACCCUAGAAGAGUCGAUCCCAAAACCCUAGCCACGGCCAUCGAGGUGCUUGUGGUGGCCGCAGCGGGCGAGGAAGAAGAAGAGGAGGAGAGGGCGGAGGGAGCGACGUGGAAAGGGGUGUGGCUUUACAGGCUCGAAAAUGGCGCACGUACGAGAUAAAGAGGCGGUAAAGGGAACAGGAUAUUUUGGCGUGUGCUAAGCACGUGACACGCUAAUUUAAUUAAAAAUUAUAAAAAUAUUAUCACAUACGAGCAUACAGCUACAUAGGUGCGUGAAUAAAAUUUUUUAAAAAUUUAAAAUUUAAUAUAUAAUUAUCAAAUAUUGUAUUAAAAAAAUUAUUUACUGGAUCAUUUGCUAAUAAAUAUAAAAUUGAAAACAUUGUUGUAAUUAAGGUGGAGGUGAAAUUUUAGCGCAAAAAUAGAACACAAGAUGUAAUCUAAAAAUUUUGGUUUCUCAAAUCUCUAGUAAUAUUAUAUGAGUGAGGUUACGAUGCUUCUAAAAACACGAAGCUUUCCGUGCUUUUAGGUCGUUUUCGAUGUUGCGACUUUCGAAUUGUCGAUCGGCUCCGUUAAACUUGAUCUAGAGUAUUUGAAAUAUCUAGAAUUAAAAUAAAUUUUAUGAUUUUUCGAUAUCAUUUGCCUAGUGAUCGAAGGGGCUCAAAAUCAAUAAUUUUAAUAGCCGUAGUGAGCCGUUCGCAAGUUUAAUGGUGUAAAAAUAUCCAAAUAACGUAAAAUUUUGAUAGAAAAUUUUUUAUACUAUAUAAAAUAAGAUGAAUAUCUUUGAUCUAAAAUUUUAAUGUCAUAUUAUCAUAUUUUGUAAUAUUUUUAUCUUCAGCUGUUGAUUUUGAGCCCCUUCAUUCACUAGGCAAAUAAUAUCGAAAAAUCGCAUAAUUUAUUUUCUAGGUACUUCAAAUACUCUAGAUCAAGUUUAACGGAGCUAAUCGACGAUUCAAAAGUCGCAACAUGAAAAACUACCUGGAAGCACGGAAGGAGCGUGCUUCCAGAAAUAUAGUAGCCUCACUCUAAUGUAUUUGUAUAUUUAUGCAUAUGACUAUGUUAGUUAAUUGUUCCUUAUGUGAGUGAAGUUACUUGCAUAAAACUGUUGUUGAAUUCACAAUUAGGUGCUAAUUAUGUUCCUAUGAUAAUUUUACUAAAUUUAGUGAAGAGCAAUGCUAGAUUUGCAAUCCAAAAUAGACUAUAACUCAAAACACACCCAUACAACAGCUAAUUUAUCUCCACUAAUCUUAUUAUUUUUUAUACUAAAAAUCAAGAAGAGAUUAAUAAAUUCUUGGCACUCUUGGAUGAUGACUUUUAGAAUUAUAAUAAUUUUUGUUAUUUCAGACUUUGCAUUUUUUUUUCUUUAAUAUAACCACAGGGAGUCCAAAUUAUUUCGUUCCUCCAUGCGAUCAAGUGCUAUUCCCAUGUGCCUCUUGAUCCCAUAUAUUUAAAAAAAUCGGUUGAUUAAGGUCUUGUUUGUAGUAAUCGUAGGAUGUAAUAUUAUUCAACUAACAAUUUUUUAUAACACAUGAUCAAAAAAAUAUUUUAUAUAAUAUUAGAUACAGAUUAUAAUUCUUUUUCUAACAGUAGAUUUUAAGAGCAUGACUUUGGUAUCGUAGAGUCAUGGUCGAAACCUAAAACUCCAUACGUUAAUGAGAGCGGAAUCAAUGAAACUAUUAGAUUGCUAAAUUCCAUGUUAUACCUUUAUGUAAACAAAUACACUCUAAGCCACUGUUUGGCUCGGGGUUAAGUAAAAACUUAUUAUUUCAGGAAUAAAGUUAAGUUCAGAAUUAAGGUGGGAUUGGAAUAAUUUUGUGUUUGAUUGAGAAUUAGAUUUAGUCCAGUAUAAAUAAAAUAGUAUUUGACUGGAGUAGAUGGGAUAAGAAGGAUAGUGGGUAAAAUAGUAUUUUAUUUGGUUGGAAUAGUGGGGUGGAAUGCCCACCCCCUAAAUUGGGUGUUUGGGAAUAACUUCGGAGUUAUUCCACCUUUAACCCUGAACCAAAGAGGUGCUAAGAUUUAAAAAAAAAAGAAUUUAAAAUUUUGAAUACAGGGUGCAGCUUAAAAAGUCGGAGUACCCAAAAGUAAUUUCGACCAAGAAUUCGGAUGUUUAUUAUUUUCUUUUUAACCAUUUAUUUGUACGAUUAAAUUAAAUUCUCCUCGCGCAUCACACAAACAAUUAGGGACAUUACAUUGCUGCAUUGUUACCUUCUCCGAGUGGUGCAAUAAUUUUAAUUUAUUUUNACCCCAUUAAAGGCACAAAAUUUUAACGAUAUAUGAAUGGACCCAGUCCACGAGAAUAACUGUGGAUUCUCCAUUGUAUUUAGUAUCUUUUCCAUCUCUUAUUGCAUUUUUAUUAUUUUUAAGCAAAGUGAGUGAGUAAGUGAAUAUUUCUCAAAUAUAAAUUUAUUAUCUUUGUUGCACACAAAUCGAUACUAGUACGCAAUUAGAAAUUUUGAUUUCGAAUUUUGCUAUCGCUUUUUAUAGCUAAAGUUUAUUAAAUUACUGUCAAUUUAGAGUCUUUACUAUAUACGCGAUUAAAUAAAAUAUAUUUUUUAGUUUAAGAGGAUAGCACCUUCAUAUUUUUAAUUAUGUUCUCGAGAAAAAAAAAACUAUUGAUAAAUUUUAAUAUAAUGCUUCGUUUAUAGUACUAGUAUUGACUAGUAUUGAAGUCAAUAUUGUAAAUAGAAAAGAAGCAGAGUAAUAUGCGGUCCUAUGGACGAUUCAGUGAACCAAGUUUAGCGGAUAUUUUAUCAAUAAUGAGAGCCGACCCUUUUCUAGUAUUAAUAUUUUGGUAAAAAUAAUUGGAAAACUUUUAACUGUAGGUGGAUUUGAAAUGUCUCGGUCGGUCUUUAUUUUAUUUUAUUUGAUCAAUACUUUGGUUUUCUCUUGAUUUUUUGAGAUUAAAUAAUUAUAAUUAAAAAUAUUAAAAAUUUUAUAAAGUUUAAUAUUAUCAAAUAGCGUGUGAAAAUUCUUAUAAUGAAAGAUGAAAUUAAAAAUUUAAAUAAGCAAAUAUUAUAGAUAUUCACUCAAUAUAAUUUUUUUUAUUAUUGAGACCUCUUUAUUUUUAAAAUUUUACAAAGUAGGUAAUUUUAGCUAAAAGUUGUAAAAAAUAUUAAAUUCAUUUAGUAAUUUUAUCAAAUUUAAUAAUUUAAUAAUUUAAUAAAUAAAAUUGGAUAACUUUAUAAUUAAUAACUAAUAAAGUGUUUAACUUAACUAAAUAUUAAAAUUAAAUAAAAAAAAAAGUUAAGGAGGCGGUUUGCGAAGUUCCUCGAGUGGAGGGGGUCUGAUACAUUUUUACCUAUUUAUUUAUUUUGGCUCAGGCUAUAAAUCUACUUCUCAUUAUUUCACCUCGCUCCAUAAAUGCUACUCCACCGCCCUCGCACACCAUCUCUCUCUCUCUCUCUCUUUUAAUUUUUUUUUUUCUUCUUUUUUCUCGGGGGAAGAGAGAGAGAAAGAGAGAGAAGAGAGAGAGAGCGAAGGUGAGUGUCGAGGAAGGAAGCUAAAACUCUUCUCUCCACGAAACUCCUCUCUCUCUCUCUCUUUCUCUCUCUACGAUACUCGUUUCCUUUCUCUCUCCUCGUUCUCCACUCCACCUCUCUCUCUCUCUCGCGCGGUCGCGUCUCUCUCUCAUCCCUCAUCUCAGAUCUCUUGGCGAGAAACCCUAAUCGGAUCGGAGGAACCCUCUCUCUCUCCCCGCCUCUAGAUGGUCAUGGUCUUCGGAAUCGUGUGAUGCCCACGGUACUUCUCUGUUCGAUUGCUUGCAGUGCUAGGCUUUUAGCGCUCGAGGCGAGAUGAUGAGGGGAGUUGAUGGCGAGGGUGGGGUUCCUCAGAACCCUAACCCUGUUGCCGAUCUCGGGGAGUUUGGCGACCCCGCGGAAGGUCAAAUCGCUCCCCUGGAUCUGUUGUGUUCUUUUGUUUCUUUUUUUUUUUCUUGAGUCUUGAUCUAUGUUUUGUGGUGUGAUUCCUUUACCCCAUUGAUUUACUAUUUUGCUCUCGUGUUGAGAUUUGGUGAUGUUUGUUCAUUGAUUUCUUGCAAGAUAUAUUGAUUGCUUAUGCCGGUUCUUUCUAGUUUGGGAAUUAGCCCGCAGUACUUUUAAAUUACUUCUUACUAGAUUUUCUUUUUUUUUUUUUUUGGUGGAUAGACUAUUUGAUGGUAGAUUCCUAUAGCUGUUAAUCAGAGAUUGCUGUAAUAAAUGUUCAUUUUAUUGGAUUUAUGUGAAGGAGAAUAUUUUUGUCUUGAUUGGCAUGUAACAGUGUUUGGAAUGACAUUCGUGGGUUUGAAAUUUCUAGCUAUUUAGCUGGAAUUCGGCGAGCUUACAUUAUGAGCGUCGGCCAAUUGAUUUUCGAACUUAGUAUGUUUGUUGCAGUUGCAAUGUUAUCAUAAUUUACUCCUUAGUCUACAGAAGAAUUUAAGCAAAGUUUGCUAGUUAACUCUUCAACUGGUUUCAAUUAGUCUGUUCUUCUUAGUUUUUGUAGGGCUGGCGGUUUCUUGUCGCUUUUCUGUUAUUUUUAUAAUACCGGAAUGGUGAAUCCAUGUUGUGCACAUCAUUACGACAAACCUUUACUUGUCCCUUCCACGUGCCUGAUUGUUAAGUAGACGGCUGCUGUAUUGCCUUUUUAUUUUUUUGGUAUACUGAAUAUGCAUGUACCAGAUGAAUGUGCAUGUUCGUUGGCUGAUCUAUGCAUGUUCAUCUUUUCUGUUUAUUCUAGUCAGUAGAUAAUGUGUUUAAACUUUUUUUUUCUCCUUUUUUUUGGGCAGGGAACACCUGUUUUGAUGCUUCACAGUAUGCAUUUUUUGGCAAUGAGUUGAUGGAGGAAUUUGAACUAGGGGGGUUAGGAGAUGCUAAAGAAGGUGAUGGUGCUGCUGGAUUUGGGCCUUAUGAUGAGGAAUACUGUUUUUCUUCUGUUGGCAAUAGAGAAGAGGUAAGUCUCACAGCAGGAAUUAAGUAACAUCCUAAUUCCUAUCGAACUUUUGUGCUGGCUGAAUGCAUAAAAUGUCUUAUUAGUUCCCAAGUUUAGAGCUAUGCACUCUGUCUCAUUUCAAAGGCUUUUUUAUUGUUCCGAGUUAUGGAAUACUUGACGUUACAUCUUUCUGUUUACCGUUAUUUUUUGAAACAUUAUGCAUUUUAUGCAUAUAAGAUUUUGGAACGUUUUAGAUUAAAGUGACAUUUUUGAUUGAACUAAGUUUCCAAAUCCUGAAGACAUGUAUGAAGAUUUAUCUUAUAUAAUUACAUUGCUACCGGUCACUUUUUGAGCACUACAUUUGAUGUUUUAUGACGAUCUGACAAGUCUUAAGAAGUUUUUUCCUGUUGCAUUUGCAGGAUGAAGUUUUAGGUUCGCUGUCUGACAUUGACGAUCUUGCAACCACUUUUUCAAAGGUUUGCGUCAGGAUUUAUUAUCAUUACUUCUUCAGAGCUUCAAUUUGCGCAUCACGCUUGAUAACUUCAAUUUUAUUUGGUUAUCUACACCUCUUCUUGAUAUUCUCAUCAUUGACAAUUGCAGAUUUGUAUUAGUAAAGGGCAGUUGUGAGAAAAGUUUUUAGCCAAUUAGUUUCAUUUUUCUCUCUUUAAUAUGUAUGCUCUCUAGCUGUUAUUGACUACCCUUUUUAGUUGUCUAUUAUGUUUAAGUUUACAUAAUAAUACAUGCAAACUUGUUCUAGGUGUUUUAAAUGCUUAUCCUCAAAACUUCUGUCUCUUUUUUUUUUUUUAAAUUCUAAUUCUUGAUCAAAUUGUGGUAUAGUUGUUAUUUGCUGCCCAUUGUUCUAUAAUACAUUAUUGUUCAUGUGGAAACAAUUUAUUGAAACUCACGUAUCUCUGCCUUCGUUAUCUCACAGUUACUAAAAAUAAAUAAUAUCUAAAUUUUACACAUGCAACCAAAUUCUGAUCAAAACCUUUAUUCCCUUAUUGAUUCUUAAUAAAGCUUUCCUGAAUUAUCUCACAAGUUUCCUAGAAAAUGGUUUAAAUCUACUGUAGAAUUACUUAAUUAUUGGAUAUUCCUUAUUUUACAUGCUUUAGCAAAUGUUUCUUGAACUUUUUUUUUUCUUACAAAUAUCAUUGAAACAACAGUUGAUUUUGUGGAGAGGGAUGGUAAAGGGCCUACUUUCUGUGUUUGAGAAUUUAUUUCAGAUUUCCUCUUUUGGGGGUGAGCUGGUGCUGAUUCUUAUUGAUUAUUGUUUACUGUUCUCUCAAAUACAUACCAUCGUUAGGCACAGCAUUUAGACCUAUGAGCUUGCAAACAUUUAAAAUCUUACCAUUUCUUACUAUUGAAGAUUGGAGGUUCGAUUGCAUGCAUUACAUCCAUUUUGUCAACAAUCUAUUCUCUCUUUUAGUCAUCUAUGAUCUACUUAUUUUAAGCGGUUAAUGAACCCUGUUCUUAUUGACUCGGUAUUUUUUUUUUUCCGUCUUCUUGCCUCGAUCAGUUUUUGCGUUGUGUUUUGAGUUAGAUAUUUAUGGUGUCUUCAUAAUUGUGCUUGUCUUAAGUCACUUUGCUUCCUUCUUUAGAAUAAUAUUCUUUCUGGCUUGCAGUUGAACAGAACUGUUGGUGAACCAAGGAAUGCAGGGGUUAUUGGUGAUAGAAGAUCUUUUUCAAGAGAAAGUGAGUGAUAAUUUUAUCUUAUACUCUGUAGGUUACAACAUUUUUUAUGUUCAGCUGUAAUAGCAAUAUGGUUGGCAUAUUGCUUUUACUUGGUCUAGUAUCUCUUCCAUUCUUGUUAUCCUUCUUUCAUUCUCCAGCUAGAUAUAAUCCUCAAUCGAUCUUUCACAUUAGCAAUAGUGCCAAGUUGACAGAAGUUACCGUUUUCUUGAGUAAGCAUAUGAUAAGGACGAAAUGAUCACUUGAAGUAUGUCAUGUUGCUGUCACCGGCAGUGUAAGUGGAGUGGAAUAAUGGUUGUACAUCAAAGAAGUGGAAAAUCGAAAUCAAAAGAGUCCCGGGAAAUUCUUAUGGUAUUUUUUUGUCCUGUAAUAAAACACUUGAAGAACAAAUGUACCAUCUGCUUUUUCCUUGGGCUCAUUUGGUUCUCAAAUAAUCACCUCUUUAUGUAAGUGCCCAUGUUGUAUAGGAAACACCUAUCAAAAGGGACACAUAGUUCAAAGAGAAUGAUUUAGUAUGUGUACCAUGAUUUUGAAUAUUUGAAUUCUGAACUGAUACAUAAAAUGUCAGAAGAUCUUGUAUGAGAUUAAUGCAAAUCGACUUUUGUGAUUGGAAAAUAGUAAUGUCGUUAAAUCUGCCAUACUUUCAUAAAUUGUAAAUUUUUUCGUGUCGUGUUGUAUACUUUGAUUAACAUGUCAACCUUUGGUAUUAUGUUAAUAACAGUACUAAUUAGGCACUAAACAUUUUAAUGCCUUUUCUUUAGGUUCUUCAACUGCUGACUGGACUCAGGAAUCAGACUAUCCAAAUUGGAGAGAUCAGUCUAUACUCGAUGCUGAGUUCAUUCAAGAAGGUAAACGGUGGAGUUCACAGCCGCAUCCUUCUUCAUCCACUCUUUCAGAUUCCGAAGAAUUGCACAGAACCUCUUCGUAUCCUCAGCGACCGCUGCAACAUCAAACAAGCGAACCAAUUCUUGUACCCAAGUCUCCGUUUACUUCCUAUCCUCCGCCAGGCGGACGGUCUCAUCCCUCAUCAAACCUCACACGCCAUGCAAGCAUUCCAUCUCUCUCUGUUGACCUGCAGAUGCAGAUGCUUCCAAAUAUGUCUCCUUUUCCAGCAUCUCAUCAUCAUUUAGCUGGAUUACCUCAUGGAAUGCAUUAUGGAGGAGAUUGGUCUUUCAGCCCCUUAAAUAUUCCGACUACUAACCGGCGGCUAAACAGCUGGCCAAACCAAGUUAACCUCUUUUCUGCUGAUCAUCCCAAUAUAGUACCUAACUUGUUACAACAGCAAUUACCUCAUCCAAAUGGUUUAGUGCCGCCACUACUAUUGUCUCAGCAGCAACAGAGAUUACAACAGCUCCAGUCAUCUCUUCUUCAGUACCCACGUUUGCAGUCUCAAUUAUUCAACCAGCUUCAUCCACCACAAUUGGGGGACCAAAGGUCAAAGCCAUCUCAAGGGGGAAGACAGAAAAUGCGCAAGUCUCAACAGUCUUCUGAUACAAUUAGCCAGAGGACCGAUAGUGGGCGGCCACAAUUUAGAUCCAAGUACAUGUCAGCUGAUGAGAUAGAAAAUAUCUUGAAAAUACAGCAAGCUGCAACUCAUAGCAGUGAUCCUUACAUUGAUGAUUACUACCAUCAAGCUUGUCUUGCAAAGAAGUCUGCUGGCUCCGGGCUGAAGCACCAUUUCCACCCAACAUCCAUAAAGGAUGUGCCUUCUAAAUCACGAAACAGCCAUGAAAAACAUGCAUUCCUUCAAGUCGAUUCACUUGGGAGGUUCUCUUUCUCUUCUAUUCGCAUGCCUCGCCCUCUCCUCGAGAUAGACUUGCCUUCUACUUCGGAUGAUGGUUCUGUUAAGUCCCUAGAACAAGAGCCUAUGUUAGCAGCUAGAAUCACCAUUGAAGAUGGCCUUUGCCUUCUUCUUGAGGUAGAUGACAUCGAUCGACUGUUAGAGGUCACCCAGCCACAAGAUGGCGGUUUCCAACUUAGACGGAAAAGACAGCUUCUCCUAGAAGGUCUUGCGGCAUCACUUCAACUCGCUGAUCCUCUUGGCCCAACUAAACCUGAGCUCGCCCCGAAGGAUGAUCUCAUUUUUCUUCGUUUAGUUUCUCUUCCAAAAGGCCGGAAGCUCCUUUCACGCUACAUUCAACUUCUCAGCCCCGGAAGCGAGCUUGCACGUAUAGUCUGCAUGGCCAUUUUUAGGCAUCUGAGGUUCUUAUUUGGUGGUUUAUCAAUAGAUACUAGUGCGGCAGAAACCACAACGAAACUUGCGAGGACUGUUUCUUUGUGUGUUCAGAGUAUGGAGUUAAGUUCACUCAGUGCUUGCCUUGCUGCUGUGGUCUGCUCCUCUGAACAGCCGCCCCUUCGUCCACUCGGUUGUUCUGCUGGUGAUGGAGCAUCCAUAAUCAUCAAAACUGUUCUUGACAGAGCAACAGAACUUCUGACCAAUUCCCUCACAACAAACAACUAUUCUGUUUCGAACCGAGCUUUAUGGCAGGCGUCAUUCGAUGCUUUCUUUGGGCUUCUCACCAAAUAUUGUUUGAGUAAAUAUGAUAGUAUAUUGCAAAUGUUUCUCAUGCAGUUAUCAAACGCUGCAGCACUUGAAUCCGAGGUGAGCAGAGCUCUGAGUAGGGAGAUGCCUUUCGAGUUGCUUCGUGCUGGUCUUCCUCAUACGAAUGAGCAGCAGCGUGAUAUGCUGAAUAGGUUCGCUCAGAGAUCUAUGCCUGCCUUUGGUUUUCGCGUUCGUGGUGGUGGCAGUGGGGCUAUUACUUCUGAAUCAGUUCCCAGUUAAUGCACAUGGAAAGAGAGAGAAUCAGCGAAGGUAUCUCGCUAGUGUUGAUUCUGUCCAUAACAGAGGUUAUGACCAUCUAUGGCUUUCAGGUGACCCUCGUAGCUUUUCAUUUCGCUCUUAUGCUUGUUAGCUAAUAUUUACAUCUUUGUAGACUGGUGGACAAAAUGUUCAUCCGUACAUACUAUUUUAGAGCUCGUAUGUUAAGUUGUUACGGAAACUUUCUCCUGGGCACUUAGUUAUAAUGCCGCUCUGCAUUAGCACUGGAUAUAGUGGGGCAUAGUUGUACAGGAUUCUCAUGCUGCAACCUUCCUAUCUGUUCUUUUUAAGGAGAAGGAAGCUGCGAAUAGAAUAGCUCUUUCUAGUUUUGGUUUGGCUGGCGAGGAUAGCUUCUGUUUGGUUAAAAACUUGAUGUGAUGUUGGUAUACUGGGCAUCUGGAAAUGUCAUUGUUCUGCCCUUUUUAUGUAAUCUGUUUUGUGAUGAAGCAUCGAAACAUUUACGAAUUGUUAAUUUCUCUACGAAUGAACUUUUUUAAUAAUGGACAAUGUGAACAUGUAAUAUUUCACUGUUUGUUUAUUUGAUUGGCCGUAGUUGUUCUAUCAUUACAAGUGUAAAUCUGUGAGUAUGCACUAUUUAAACAAUUAAACAGUGCAGCAAAUUAUCCAGAGCACCUAUGAUGUUAAGUUACUGCUCAGUGACUCUAAGCCAAUUUCGAAAUGAUCAGCUGAAUAAUUUGGAUGGUGGUGGUGAUCUUGGUUGCCUAAAUGUUGUUCUCCGGGAAGCCACUUUUGUAUGUCAACUGGCUGUUUCAGGUGAUGUUUCUAGUUCUCGCUCUGCUGCAAAUUCCGAGGAAAAUUUUUCUUGUUAGUGAUGGGGAAAACGUUAGUUUUAAUCUUCUUUUUUGUUCGAGAGCUUUUGAUAAAGAAGCUUUCUUUCUUCUGUAUUUUUGUUUUUUACUUUUUGGGUUGUGGAGAGGGAGGGAAGUGGGGCGGUUGUGUGUGAAUUGGGGCCUGGAAGCUUGGCUAGAACUUGUAUUCAAUCUCUUUCUAUUAAAGAGGAUCUCGUGAUGCUUCUGUUAGCAUCGCUAAACAAUACAAUUGGGAGUAGCCAAGUUGCCUUUUUUUUUGCCCAAGAGCAAUCUACAGCCCUUAACAGCUUUAGAAGCCUAACACUCUUUGCCAAGUCAGCAUGGAAGCAGAAUUUUAUUUUACAAGACUGUGUCCUAUUCACGGUCUUUUUAAAAAAUUUUUUUUAUAAUUUUUUUUUAUGCUAUAAAGAUUCUAUAUAAUUUAUUAAUUAAAAUUUGUAUAUGAUUGUUACGAUUAUAUAUAAAAAAUAAAAAAAAAUAAGGUUGUGAGAAUUGUAUGUAGAUUAUUUAGAGUUUUUAUUUGAUUGUUAAAGUUGUAUGAAUAGAUUAUUAAAAAAUUUUAGGUUGUUAAGAUUUUAUUAAUUUGUUGAAAUGUUUUUUUUUUUUUGAGAGAUAGGUAGCACGCUAUCCGCUUCGUUUAUUUCAUUUAAAAAUAAACUUAGCUGGAAAUGUGAAUCAACUAGGAUUCGAACUUGAGACCUCAAGUACCAACCAUCCACUUGUUUUAGGGUCGGUCGGUAUUUGUUGAAAUGUUUAUAUGAUUUUUAGGAUAUAUAUGAAAAAUAAAAGGAAAGAGACGGUGAUUUGUAUGAAAAAUUAAAAGAGGACGAAUCGUUCAUCGUUUUCAUAAAAACUAUAAGUUGUUGGCCGUCUUUAAAGAAAAUUUUAUCCUGAAGCUUUUUUUACAAAAAAAAAAAUAAUAAUAAUAAUAGUUUGCCGAAAUAUUUUCAGAGGGUUAUUUAUCUGAAUUUUUAUAAGGUUUAUUUCGAAAAAAAAAGAAAAGAAAAAAGGGUCCCAUUUUAACCUUGUUCGCGAAUCCUUGUGACGGUUCAAAUUCUACGCAUCCAAGCUCCAAACGAGGGAGACCCCAAAGGCUAUGUGAGAGAAGCCGAUGAGCUGCAAACUCAAAUCCGCGGGCGACGGAGCAGCCCUUGUUUUCCACCAGAAUCUGAAGCUCACGCAUCUUGCCAAAUGCGGCCGCCUCGACGAAGCCGUCGCCGUCUUCAACGCCAUGAGCACCCGCAACACCGUCACCUACAACUCCAUGAUCUCCGCCUACGCCAAGAACGGCCGAGUCGCCGAGGCGCGGCGCCUCUUCGACGCCAUGCCCUCCCGCAAUUUGGUUUCCUGGAACACCAUGAUCGCCGGGUACUCCCACAACCAAUUCGUUCUCGCAGCCUCUAACCUGUUCGAUAGAAUGCCCGAAAGAGACAUCUUUUCGUAUUCCCUAAUGAUUACCUGCUAUGCACGAAAUGGUGAAUUGGAGAAGGCGCAGGAACUGUUCGAUAGAAUGCCUGCCGAGAAGAGCUCGGUUUGCUACAACACACUGAUAUCGGGAUAUGCAAAGAGUGGGAGGUUCGAAGAUGCUGUACAGUUGUUGAAUAAAAUGCCUUCUCAGAGCUUGGUUUCCUGGAAUUCGGUGCUCGCCGGGUACACGCAGAACAAGAAGAUGGGUUCGGCUUUGAAAUUCUUUGAGCAAAUGCCGGCGAAAGAUGUGGUGUCUCAAAACUUGAUGCUUGAUGGGUAUGUUCGGAUCGGGGACUUGGACUGCGCUUUGGAGUUUUUUAGGAGGAUUGACUCGCCGAAUGUUGUUUCUUGGGUGACUAUGAUAAGCGGGUAUUGUAGGAGUGGCAGGAUUUUUCAAGCUAGGGAGUUGUUCGAUCAAAUGCCGGAGAGAAAUGUUGUCUCAUGGAAUGCGAUGAUUGCAGGGUAUGUGCAAAGUUUGCAGAUAGAAGAGGCUUACAAAUUGUUCAUGGAGAUGCCGGAGAAGAAUGCAAUUUCAUGGACAACGAUGAUAAAUGGAUAUGUUCGUAUUGGGAACCUCGACGAAGCUUGUAAAAUGCUCGGUAAAAUGCCUUUCAACAGUGUGGCAGCAGAAACUGCAAUAAUGAAUGGCUAUGUUAGGAAGGAAAGAAUGGAUGAUGCUCAUCAAAUUUUUAACCAAAUAAGAGCACAGGAUGCUGUAUGUUGGAACACGAUGAUUUCAGGCUAUGCACAAUGCGGACGAAUGGAUGAGGCCGUGGAUUUAUUCGAGCAAAUGCCAAGGAAGGAUGUUGUGUCGUGGAAUACUAUGGUAGCAGGUUAUGCUCAAUGUGGGCAAAUGAGCAAAGCUAUAAGCAUUUUUGAACAGAUUGGUCACAAGAAUACCGUGUCAUGGAAUUCUAUCAUCUCUGGUUUCGCGCAGAAUGGCUUCUACGCGGAAGCACUUCUUUAUCUCGUGCUCAUGAAAAAGGAGGGGAAGAAGCCCGAUUGGUCUACUUUCGCUUGCGGCUUAAGUGCUUGUGCAAACCUUGCGGCUUUGCAAGUAGGUAAGCAACUCCACGACCUCCUACUCAAAAGUGGGCACAUUACCGACUUCUUCGCUGGCAAUGCCUUGAUAACCAUGUACGCUCGUUGUGGAAGGAUCCUACAAGCAAGACGGGUCUUUAAUGAAAUGGCGGUCGUUGACGUUAUUUCAUGGAAUGCUUUGAUUGCUGGCUUUGCCUUAAAUGGUGAUGGAAGAGAGGCAAUUUCACUCUUUCGAGAGAUGGGGCGAAAUAAUGUUAGUCCCGACGAGGUAACAUUUGUUGGUGUUCUCUCGGCAUGUAGUCAUGCGGGAUUAAUCGAUGAAGGACUAGCCUUGUUUGACUCUAUGAGCAAAGAUUACUCUAUUAGACCUGUGGCUGAGCAUUAUGCUUGUAUUGUUGAUUUGCUUGGGAGAGCAGGGAGAUUAAUGGAAGCAUUUGGAUUAGUGAAGCAAAUGCCAGUCGAGGCAAAUGCUGGAAUAUGGGGAGCUUUACUUGGGGCUUGUAGAAUUCACAAGAACCGUGAGCUAGCUAGAUUCGCUGCGCCGAAACUGUUUGAGCUUGAGCCACAUAAGACUUCGAAUUAUGUGUUAUUGUCGAAUAUAAAUGCGGAAGUGGGUAGAUGGGAUGAGGUUGAAAGAAUGAGGGUUUUGAUAAAAGAGAGGGGAGUGCAGAAGCAACCGGCGCGCAGCUGGAUCGAGAUAAAGAAUAAGGUUUGUUCCUUCUCGGCCGAUGAUUCAGCAGAGACAAGGACAAGUGAAGUAUGUAGAGUUUUGGAGGAGCUAAGCGCGCAAAUGAGAGACACAGGGAUUUUCCCCGAUUCGUCUGUACUAGAUUGUGGAUGAGCAUCCAAAUCCUGUUACUGUUGUCUAACAGAUGAAUCAGAAAAGAGACUGUUCCCGUAGCAUUCAAAUCGACUCAACCGCAUGCAGUUGAGUCGCAUCAUGAACCUUUUGAGUCAUUUGAUUUCAUUUACAAUCUGGUAGAAUUGUAUAUUGUACAGUUUCACCACAGCCUCUGCUGAUGAUGGUUUAGUUAAAUCGUUGAGUAAGAGAGACUGCAGAACCUUGUCAUGUAAAUAUGCAAAUUUAUACAACUCAUUAAAUGUGCAAUUUAUGCUGUUAUUGUCUAUGGUAAAUAAAGUCUUUCAUGCUGGCAUAUUAUCAGAAAACAAUUCUCUUUAAUGCAAGAAACAGUUUAUACAUUAGUAUAUAAUGCUAAACAAUUGGUACUGAUACAGAGUAUUUUCAAAUAUUAAACAAAAUCAAGAGGGUUCAUACAAAAUUUGUUCUGCUAAAGAAUUAAAUAAUCUAUAGUCUGGUCAAUCUAGAUGAGCAUUCCAUCAAAAUCAGUCCUUUCUGCUACAUUAAUUGCUUAACAUGCUGUGGUUCUCUUCAAUAAUCGGAGUUUUCUCCCUUGAAGUCGAUUAAUCUUUGAUUAGAAAAUGAAUGAUCAUUAUCAGUACUUCAUCCCUGGCACUGAUGGAAUUUCGUCGAUAUCGCUUUGAUUGUCCUGAAUGCAUACUUUUUGAGGCCAUAUUCAAGUCCUGUUUGUUCAUCUUUGCCUUCAAAUUUCUCCAACUUGUAACAUAUCAACCCUAUCUUCUGAAAUUUGUUCUUGGGCUUCAACCCAACUCAUUCCGGUAUCCUUUCUUAUCCCUUGAUCCCUCAUCAUUGUGCGAAUGUGAGCCUUUCUAUCCCACAUGCCCAUUGAAGCAUGGAUACUCGCCAAACUAACAUAAGGGGAAGGAUCCUCUGGUCUCAUUUCCAAUACCUUCUUCGCUGCGAAUCUUCCAAGUUCUACAUAUCCAUGGACUUUGCAAGAAGUGAGAAGUGUUUCCCAGACCAGUCGGUCCGGUUCACAUGGCAUUGCAUCAAUAAACUCAAUUGCAUCAUUGAGCCUACCUGCUCGACCAAAUAGAUCGACCAUACAAGCAUACUGCUCCAUCUUAGGCUCCAGUUCAUACUCGGUGCUCAUUUGUUCGAAGUACUCGCAACCCUCUUCGACAAGACCCAUUCGGCUACAAGAAGCUAGGAUUCCCGUGAAAGUAUAGUCGUCGGGUUUAAUGCCUUCUUCCUGCAUCAAAACAAAGAGCUUCAAAGCGUCGUUUUCAUGUCCAUGUUGCGAAAAGCCAUUGAUCAAAGCAUUCCAGGAGACGAUAUUUCUUUCGGGCAUUAAGAAGAAAACUUUCAACGCAAAAUCCACAUUUCCACACUUAGCAUACAUAGUUAUCAGGGAAUUCUCAACAGAUAAGUUAUCACCAAUCCCCAAUUUUACAGCCUUUGAGUGGAUUUGCUGGCCCAUUUGAAGGUUGGUAAGAAUCGAACAAGCCCUAAGAGCACCGGUUACACUGAAGACGGGCGCGCUCAGCCCUUCUCGAAGCAUUCUCCUGAAUAAGAUGAGUGCUUCUUCUCCACAAUCAUUUUGCCCAUAACAUGUCAAUAAUGCAGUCCAAGAGAUAAUAUCUUUAUCUCUCAUCUGCUGGAAUAAUCUAUCUGCGCUUUUGACAUCACCGCAUCUCCCGUAAAGAGAAAUAAUUGCAUUGGCGGUUGAUACAUCUGAAAUGAAUCUACUUCUCACAGUGUAGCAAUGAAUCUCCUUUCCCGUUGCUAAUUGUCCUAAAGAUGCGCAUGCCACAGCUACACUAGUUAUCACAGAUGGGUCAAUUGCCACUUUUUCGUCAAUCAUCUUUUGAAACACAUCGAUCGCCUCUUUGUUGUAUCCAUUUUGCAUGAAAGAUACGAGCAACGAAGUCCCUGAAACAACAUCGCGACUCAGUCUCGUAGAGAGUCUGAUUAUUUCAUCCACUCCUCCGCACUUCCCAUACAUAGAGAUCAGGGCACUACCUAAUAGGUUAUCGACUUCAAUUCCAAGCUUCACUAUCCACCCAUGAACUUGUUUACCUAUACCAAGCUUACCUGGUUUGUCGAAGAUCUUAAGAAGACUAGAAAAGGUCAUUCCAACCGGCCAAACUUUCCAGCGAAUCAUGUCCUUGAAGAGAUCAAGUGCGGAUUUUUUGAACAUAUACUGCUCGCUAUUGGCAAAACAAGUGAUCAUACUAGUCCAACUCACGACAUCCUUAUAAGAGGUUUGAUCAAAGACCCUCCAUGAACUCUCAAUCUCCCCGCACUUUGCGUACAUGUCGAUCAACGUCCCUGCUACGAAUGAAUCAUACUCCACACCAAAUUUAAUCGUGUGGCAAUGAAGCUGAAUCCCUGUUCUCGAAUCCCUCGCGCGAGCGCAGCCGCUGAUCAUGCUACCGAACGUGAACGUGUUCGGAAGAAGACCACCGUCGUUUAACAUCCCCCUAAGCAAAAAGAUGCCAUUUUUAAGAUUACCCAAGCGGGUAUACCCAGAAAUUAGCAGAGUCCACGUGACGACGUUUCGUUGGGGCAUUUCGUCGAACACCUUGCGCGCGUCCUGCAUCGACCGGGAAACGUAGGCGCAGAGGAGGUGGUUGCAGAGGAAGGUGGAGACCAAGCAACCGAGCUUGAGAGAGAGGCCAUGAACGGCCCUGGGAUCGGUGGUGGCGCGGCGCUUGAGGUAGGAGGAGAGGUGGUCACGGAGAGGAGGUUCCAUUGGUGGGGUGGGUUCGAGGAAGAGGUGGUUAGGGUUCUUGUGCUGUUCAUGGCUUUGUGGAGUGGUGGUGUUGUAUUGGUGUUUGAUGGGAUUGAGGAGUUAAAAUGAAUUGCAUUGGCGAGGGUGGGGCGCGGAGUGCAUGACGCUUACCGUUGAGGGUGGAUUUCGCAUAUGUGCCAUGGAGAUAGGGAUGUCUAUGGGUAUGGAUAUCCGAAAUUUUAUUCUAACAGGAACCCGAAUAAAACAGAUAUAUCCGAUGUUAAAUGAAUAUGGAUUUGAAUAUAAAUUUCAAAAAUAGAAACCCGACGGAAAUGAAUUUUGACUGUACCCGACCCGAACCCGAACCCGAACCCGACCCAAACCCGAAUUUAUAUUGUAUUAUAUAUAAUAUAUAUAUAAAAAUUUGAUAUUAUAUUUCAAAUUAUAUUUUAAAAUUUUAGAUUUUUUGAAAUAUUGAAAAAGAAAUAACUGUUUCGGGUUCAAAUUUUCGGGUUCGGAUUCGGGUUUGGGUUUGGAUAUGGAUUUUUAAAAUCCGUUCGGCUCGGGUUCGGAUUCAGGUUUCGGGUUUGGAGUCGGGUUCAGAUUCGGAUUUUUGAAAAUCCGCACCAAAUCCGACCCAUUGACAUCUCUACAUGGAGAAAUGGAGGGACAAAAAAGCUUAUUUUGUUAACAAAAAGAGCCAAAAAAAAAGAAAAGAAAGAAGAGUAUAUAAUCCGAGAUCUCAUAUAAAAUGUUACUUUUUUUUUUUGAUAGUAAAUAAAUUUACAGGAUAUAUUAUUACUUAUACAAUAAAUAAAUAAUAUAAUAUAUUACAGUAUUUUAAGUUAUGAGUAAUACAUUGGCCCAACUUAAAUGGACUAAAAAGAAAUAGCCCAGUUAGAGCCGUAUGUUAGAUGGGCCUUGUAGUCGAAUGGGCCGAUACAGUUUAAUUUCCAAAAGUUUUGGGGUUUUCUUGCAAUUGUGCCCACCACGCAAUCGACGCCCCCCCAAAACCCUAGCCCCGUAAACCAUCCCUCUUCCUCUUCUUCUCUCUCUCUCUCCACCCCCUCCCUCAAAACCCUAGAAAGGGUCAAAAUACUUUACCCUACGGAAUCUAUCAAACCCUAGCACACGAGAGCCAUGUUUACGGGGGGGCAAAGCUUCGUCUCCGCACCUCCGACCUUCUCCAACGACGGGAAGAAGCUCCUGGUGUGCACGGGCUUCACCGUCUCCAUCUUCAGCACCUCUACGGGUAUGCAGGUAAGCCCCCUGCCAUUACACUAUUUCCGUACACUAUUCCCGUGUUUGUGAAGGGGAAUGAUGGAUAGAAGGGUAGAUGAUAACUGGGUAGUGAUAAAAAAUCUCAUCUUGGUGUGUAAGAUUGCGGAAUUGGAGGGCCACACCGAUCGUGUGACCUCGAUCGUCGUGGUGCCGGUCGCCGCGCCUGCGAGCAAGUUCAUGGAUUACUGCUGGACUUCGUCUUUAGAUGGGAUGAUUUGUUAUUGGGACUUCUCCGUGCCGGAGUUGAUAAAGAAGGUGAAGGUCGAACUCCCAAUAUUUUCCAUGGUAAGUUGGUUUUAUUAUUCUUUUAUGCCUUCUCUAGUUUUCUCAUUUGAAGCUCUUUAACUCACUUCAGCUAUAUACUGUGUGGGACCAAUUGAAAAAGUGAGCCAAUUUGGGUUAUGCUAGUCAACGAAUUUGGAAAUCAAGCUGAUUUCGAGUAACUUAGAUUCAUUGUUUCAAUUUUGAACAAACUGGAGUGGUCUAGUUUAUUAAUUUCACAGUUCCAUGUAUAGAAGAUGCAACUUGUCAUUUGCUGACUUGAUGAUAUUCUAAGUUAUUUGUUUUACAGGAUGAAGUUUGUAUGCAUGUAAUUAUAAUAUAUCUAUCUUGUGAAUCUAUUUUAAUCCUUGCUCUGGCAAUCUUUGUAGUUGGAUUUUAUUACUUUAUUAUUUUCAUUCAGGUGAUACCCAACAUAUCAAAUGCGUCAAUAGGGAGCGGUAAUAAGUCAUCCACUCUUUAUGCAUUUGUGUCAGUCGAAGACAAAACUAAGCCGGAUGAUCAACAUAAAGCAUUACGUGGCCAAAUUCGGAUUUACAACUUAACGAGCUCGCGUCGUGUUGGGGGGCUUUUGGCUGAGGUGCGAUCAUAUAAUUUUAUGGACUUGCUCGUUUUAGUGAAGCCAUUCAUUGGACUCACUGGGGUUUCGUAACAUAACUGUUUAUUAUUACCAUUGUUUUUGCAUGUGUAAUGCACAAAUUUCUUUCAUUGAUAGUAUGUGCAUUGAUCUGGUAUAUGCCCUCCUCAUCAUCGAAGCCUUUCCUGAAUAGUAUAGUUUGGCUAGAGAACAAGAUGGAAGCAUUGACAUGUUGCAAUACUAUGAUUGAACAUGCAGCUUAAGAAAUAAAAUUAGAGGCAACAUCUCCUUGAGAAAUAUGAUAUAGAUGUUGAUUCAUCUUUCAGCAUGUUACUUUGUACUACUUAAUUUAUAUGCCUAUACUAGAUUGAUAAUACCGCAUUAAUGUAUACAGACCCGGAAUCCAGAACAUAUUAUUGUGAGUAGAUCUGGAGAAUUCAUAGGUAUAAAAAACAAGCGAAAACUUCAUGUAUGGAGGAUCCCUGAAGAUUUUAAGCCUGACGAAAUAAAGAAGAUUAAGCUACAUCAUACAAAGAAUCUGAGUGCUCUUGCCUUUCAUCCAACUGAGAGAAUGGUAGCAGGAGGUGAUGUAACAGGGCGGAUAUUGAUCUGGAGAGGUUUUGGAAUGAAAAAGUUCACAGAAACUUUGCGAGAAUCAAGAGGAAGGCCAAAGCUUGAUGAAGACAGGCCUGGGGUAAGGGGUAACGAUGAUGCAGAUUCCUGCUCAACAUGGCAUUGGCACCCAAGUGAAAUAAAAUUUCUCCUCUUUUCUUCAGACGGAGCUUAUUUGUACUCAGGUUAUUCCAUACUUAGAUGCUGACUUUCUAGCUUUAUCAUAUCACCUUAAACCAAUUCUUUCGAGUCCCUCACUUGGUAAUGAUGAUACUGCAGCAUUGUUAGCUGUUGAUCUUCUUUUUUUUUUUUUUAUUUAACAGGUGGACAGGAGGGGGUUAUUGUGGUAUGGCAGCUUGACACUGGAAAGCGGAAGUAUAAACCACGCUUAGGAUCCCCACUAUUGUACUUUGUAGAUUCACCAGAUCCUUCUCUUUCUUGUGUAAGACAUCAGUUGUAUAGUUAUAAUUGUGUGAGAUUUGUGCUUCUACAUAAUUUGUUAUCAGCCACAUGUUUCAUGAAUUUAAUGUCAUUAAUGCGCAUUUAAGCAGGCAAUCCUUGGAUUUGAUUAUAUAAAUUUGUUAGCACAAAUUGCCACUAUGCAUUGAUUUCUUAGUUUUCAUAUGCUGUAAGGUGUAUAUACUGCUUUUUGCAGCGUAUUCAACUGAUUGCUAUUUCAGGUAUCUUGUGCAGAUAAUCAAAUUCAUAUAUUAAAAAUGCCAACAAUGGAGAUUACAAAGUCUAUAGCCGGAAUUAAGGUUUUGGCAUCAAUCUAUAUUGCUUAAUUAUUUACAGUUCAACUUUUUUUCUUGCAUUUUAUGUGAAGAUUUGAUUACUAAAAUAACUUCUCACAUGCCAUUUGCAGCUCCCAUUCUCUUUUCCGGAUGUAUAUGAUGGUCUGCAUAAGGAGUUCGCAUAUGACCAAAGCAAUGGGCUAAUUGCUUUGAGAACUGAAGAUUAUUGUGUUCAGUUUUUCAGCUUGUUUGACAACUCUGAGGUUUCGCAGGUCGGCCAUCCUAUAUAGGAGCACCUUUGGCUUGCUUUUAACUUACCAACCUUUUAUAUUUUUUCUAUGAUCCGUUUUCUCAAUUUUUGCUAGAACUGAUGGGAUCUUUUUUCUUUUUUUCCUAGGUGCAAGUAUGUGAAAGGAAUUUUCAGCCAGUGGAUGAUCCCACUGUAAGUUAACUAUCUACGCAUUUCUCAUAGUAAAUGCCACUGAAAUACUUUUGGUGGUCCGUCUGUUUUUAUUUUCAUUUCUUUGGCAUGCUUUUAAUUACACUAGCUUGUAUAUUUCCGCUACCACACAGACCAGGGCGAACAUAGAAGUAUGUAGUAUACAACAAAUAUAUAACACAACCGAGACAUUUUGGUGUGAACCAGAAUACCUAAAUGGUAGUAUUAGACUGUUGCUUUAUUGGUCUUAACUCUUAAUCUUAUGCAGUGCUUGAAAGAUUUUAGAGGGAUAUAUGAAGAAUUCUUCAAGAUAAACCAUAUCAAUUCAAUAAUGUUGAAAAUACUAUAUUGAUCUCUCCUAUUAGGAGCUGAGUUUGAGGAUAUUUGAGAAUGCUGGUUUUAGUUACAUUUCUUCAUUUUUAUGGUUACAGGUGUGUGUGGCGUUGGUUGCUCUUUCCUCUGAUGGCUUUUUGAUGUGUACUGUGGAUGUUAAGCUUCCUGAAGAAAGAUUGGGAAGUCUUGUUAGCCUAAAAUUUUGGACACGUGGCCUUCGGGUUGGUGAAUACUCCUUGUCUACUGUCAUUUAUGAGCCUCACAGGUUGGCGCACUGCUUCCAUUAGUGAAGAGCUUCAUUAUACAGCUAUUUAAUGAAAGCAUCUGACAGUAUCCUAAAGAUAAUACAUAUCACAGUAUAUAAUGAGGCACUGAGGGCAGUUCAUAAAAUAGUUGUGCCCUGUAUGCAUAGUAAACAACUUAUUAUUUAUUUCUUCUUGCAUUGUAGUCCUCCAGGUCAAAUUUGACAAAUUUUUUACAUGCUUUCAUGUUGUUUCCAAGGCCAACUGAUUUUUUAUUUUUUUAUUUUUUUUAAUCUCUGAUGCCAUUUUUCUCCUCUUAGAAUCUGGCGCUGUUAUUAUAGUUUUUCUCUGAUAAUACAACUAUCGACAUUGAAUACAGUGAUGCUGGGAUCUCAGCUGUUUGCUUCCAUCCUGGUCAAAGUAUGGCAGUAAGCUCUUCUUUUGGUGGUGACUUCAAGGUAUUUGUACUGCUUGUCUCCUACUAUGGUCUCAGUUUUGUUGGUAUACAUGAUUUGACUGUUGAAUUUCAAUUAUGUAGGUGUGGGUUCAUUCUUCUGUUAGCCGGCUAAGAGAUCAAAAGCAUGAGAAAGCUGGUUGGAGAUGCCAAUCUGUUGGUUCAUACAAGUAUGAGAUUUUAGUUUAUCAGCAUAUAGCUUUUGUUAAAAUGAAGCAACCUUUUUUGGAGUCAAAAAUGUUUUGGCAGAUUGUUAAAUGCCAUUGAUGUGAUUUAGAGGGAUUGACCAAGCUCAAGUUAACCUUGAGAUAGUAUGUUAUUUUUCUAUGUGACCUUUUUGCAAAUGUUAUUUGAUUUGAUUGGUUACGACAAGGGGACCUACCAGUGAUGGCAUGCCAUGUUUUUUUCAUUCUUUAAAUGUAUACUAUUUUUUUAUAAUGUUGCUUCAGCACUUUCUUUUGUUCUUGUUUCAUCCUGACCAUAAAUAAUUUGAUAAAAUACCCAUAAAGAGUUUAUGAAAAUUAUAUCUGAACUAUGCAGGAGAAAACCUAUGACAGCAGCAGCAUUUUCUGCUGAUGGAUCUGUUCUUGCUGUUGCAGCAGAGACUGUUAUUACAUUGUGGGACCCAGAUACUAAUAUUCUUGUUGCUGUGAUUGGGGAAGCUCUCUCGGUAAUCAUCUAAUACCCCAGCAAUAUGUACAAUUAUUACUGCUACUUAAGUAACGUCCAGAAUAGUUACCUUGACCUUUGCUUUUGGCAGCCUAUCUCAAAACUUUCCUUUGUUGGGAAAUCAGAGUAUCUCGUGUCGCUCUCCCGGAGUUCAAAACCACAGGUAGCAUUGUGGAACACUUCCAACCUAUCGAUGUACUGGUCAUACAAGCUAUUUGCUGAGGGUAUGCAUAUUUUUGAAAUAUUUUUGCUUAAUAAUACAAAUAUACAAUGAUUAUGUUGACAGCAUAUAAAUUUGUAGAACCUUUUUUUUGGUUGUUGUAGCUGUAUGUUGUGCAGGAAAUGCCCCUCAAUUUGCUAUCCUAGCCCUCUCAAGUUCUCAAAAUGACAUUGCCGUGAGAGAUCAAGAAGGGAUUAUAUUGUUAUUCGAUGUAGAAAAUCCGGUUCCUCUGACCACAUGGCUGGUGAAGAAGGUAUGUUGUUUGUUUAUUUGUAGUAGCGGUUCACUGUCUGUUAAAUAUUAAUGAAAAAUCUGAUCUUAAUCAGUAGUCGUGCCUGUAAAUAGUUUUACUGUUGAUUUAAGUAAAUUUUUUCUUUUUAAUACGUGAUUCAGGCAAAGGGUGGUGGGCUUGCUUUUGUAACUAAGGAUCAAUCUCUGCUAGUUAAUGGUUAUGAAGAUAAUGCGCGAGGAGAACCAUCAUUGCUGGCGUAUAUAAACAGCGAUCAUGAAUAUAUUGUCUUUGAUCCACACAACGAAGAUGGCCGAAUUGGCAAGAGUGCUCGGAGAAGUCAAGCUCCUCCCGAGGAAGCAGGUGAAAUUUUUGCCUGAUUUUUCUUUCCCAGAUCAUCAGCAUUUAUCAUUAUGCUUUUCUGUCCAAUUUGAUAGAAAGGAACAAAACAACAGGUUUCUGUGUGAUAAUUAUUGUAUUUAUGUAUCUGCUAUGAAACACCUAUAGAUAUAACAUUCAUAAUAUCAUCUCCAUGCGUGUUAAAAAACAUAUAUUUAAAUACUGAUAGAGAAGCGAAUUCAGAUAUAGAUAUUGCCAAUAUCUAAACAACCAUCUGACAUAUUUUUUCUGGUAGAGCUUUUCGUGUCAGUACUUUGUAUCGUGCUAUUAUAUGACACUUGCCAAAAAGGAAAUUAAAAAUGCAAUCAAUUUUGCCUUUUCUUCUGCAGUACCGAUUGGAUACACUUCAAUAUACGGGGAGCUUCCAAAAAUUGAGUCGAAUAAAGGCACGGAUUGGGAUAUCCCCUUCGUCCCAUCAGAAAGACCUUGGGAGACUAUUUUCAGCGGAUCAUCUCACGUUCUUCCGCCCCUCACGAAAUUAUGUUCGACAUUUUUGGCAUCCUUACUGGAAAAGAGACCACCGAUAGCUGAUGAAUCUUAAUCUCUUGAGAUAUCUGGUCUUUGUAUAUUGCAGCUAGUGGCAACUGAAGUUAACGAGGAAUGCACAUUAUACAUUCUCAAUGCAUUUUGCCCUCCAUGUCGCAGGAUGCAGUUAGCGAAUUCGGAAAGUUUGGCGCAUCAAAAGUGUGUUUAAUACCUCAAAAUAGGCAUUUUUGGCCGGAGAAAAUUGCUUCUUUUACUGAGGAUAAUAGAGCUUCUGUAGCCAUAUUUAUUUUGCAUACUUUAGGUCUCAAAAUUUUGUAAUCCAGCUGAGCAGUUUGUAACGUAUGAUCAUCGGUAGAGUCAUAAACCACUUUGCAGCAGCUACUGAGGAAAAUUUGGCUGCAGCAUUAUCCAUUCAAACUGUUUCUUUUUAGCGUCGUAAUUUUUAAUUUAAAUUCUUAUUUAUCGUAUUCUGUUGAGAGUUGGAGUUAAUUUUCCUUCGGGGUCGGGCUUAUUUCAUCCGCGAUGUUAUAAGUUAUAGCAUAAUAAUAUUUUCCUUGUGCUGUGGUCUUUAAAAUACUGUUCCCUAUAGCAUCAAAUGCAUUUUUUUUGGGUGAACAGUUAUUAGUAAACAAAACAUUAAUCGUCGAGAAUUUGAUAUAACUCAAAUCUAGACGAGUGCAUCGGCGGAAAAAUAUGCAUAUGUCGAGUGAAUCUAGCAAGCAAAAAGUCGGCAGCGACUUAUAUUUCGUUGCCGACUCUUGGUUCGAGCAACGACUACUGUAUUUAUUCAAUGCCCCAAGAUAAGAAAGAGAGAGCUCGGGGAUGCGUAAGCCAUUUGAGUGGCAAUAAAGAGCUGUGGAUGAGCCAUUGAUGUGGCGAACUAUACUCUCCCCUCUCCCCACUCUCCGUUUGAAACCUCUUCCUUACAAAUUGUUUCGAGAGCUCCAACUCCCAUGUGAGAAAUCGCAAUACCCAUCUCAUUUCUCCGCAAAAAGCACUUCUUUUUUUUUUUGUUUUUUAAAUUCUCCUGCUAGAAGCGCUUCUGCAAGAAUCCAUGCCAACCCUAGUCCACUCCGUUUCCCCCCUUCCGAGAAGCAGCGCCACCUCCGACGCAAACCGAUCCAAACCAUGCUUCCUCCCCCAUUCCCCCAAAACCCUAGUUUUCCCCAAAACCAGGGGCUUUUCUAGGGCUUUGUCCUCGACCCACGUCGCAACAAUCCCCUCCAAAGACGCGGGCUUUUCCCUGCCCAACUGGAGGAACGGUAAGAGCGAGUCGAGGAGCAAAGAGCUCCGGCUCCACGACGCUUUCCUUUAUUUGGAGUUCAUGGUGGGGAAAGGGCACAAGCCCGAUCCGGCGCAGGCCACUCAGCUCCUGUAUGAUCUGUGCAAGCUCAACAAGAUCCGAAAGGCGGUUCGCGUAAUGGAGUUGAUGGUCCGCUCCGGUAACACUCCCGACCACUCCACGUACACUUUCUUAGUUAACCAGCUGUGUAAAAGAGGAAAUGUUGGGUAUGCCAUGCAACUAGUCGAUAAAAUGGACGAAUACGGGUGCCCCCCGACGACGAUCACGUACAAUUCUUUGGUUAGAGGGCUCUGCGUUCAUGGCAAUUUGCAGCAAAGUCUCCAGCUUUUAGAGAGAUUGAUGCAUAAGGGCUUGAUCCCAAAUGUGUUUACUUACUCGUUUUUACUAGAAGCAGCUUAUAAGGAGAGAGGGGUCGACGAGGCCGUGAGGCUACUAGAUGAGAUCAUGCGUAAGGGCGGGAAACCUAAUUUAGUUAGCUAUAAUGUUCUCCUCACUGGUUAUUGCAAGGAGGGUCGGUUAGACGAGGCCGUGAGUUUCUUUAGGAGUUUACCGUUAAAGGGGUUUAGUCCGAACGUGGUUAGCUAUAACAUUUUGCUGCGGAGUUUGUGUUACGAGGGGCUGUGGGAGGAGGCGGAGGAGCUUUUAUCCGAGAUGGGCGAUAGGGAUUGUUCUCCGAGUAUUAUAACGUACAACAUUUUGAUCGGGUCGCUUGCCUAUAAUGGUCGGACGGAGCAAGCGCUAGCGAUUUUGGAGGAGAUGGCGAGGAAUCGGUUCAAGCCCGUGGCUGCGAGCUAUAACCCUAUAAUUGCGCGGUUUUGUAAGGAGGGGAGAUUGGAUAUGGUGUUGAAAUGCCUUGACAUGAUGAUGCAUAAGAAUUGUGCUCCAAAUGAGGGCACUUAUAAUGCCAUUUCCGUGCUUUGUGGGGAAGGGAAGGUGGUAGAAGCCUUCUCCAUACUCCAAAAUUUGGCGAGUAAGCAGAACGCUUCGAUGCAUGACUUCUACCGAAACGUGAUUUCGUUCUUGUGCAAGAAAGGAAACACUUAUGCGGCGUUCCAACUUCUGCACGAGAUAACGAGGCACGGGUUUGUUCCUGAUAGUUAUACUAAUUCAUCUCUGAUUAGAGGUCUUUGCAUGGAGGGCAUGUUGGAUGAGGCUAUCGAAAUAUUCGAAGUGAUGGAGGAAAAUGGUAGCGGGCCUGAUUUAGACAAUUAUAAUGCGCUAAUACUCGGGUUAUGCAAGGCGCAGAGAACGGAUCUAUCGUUCGAUAUAUAUGAAACUAUGAUCGAGAAAGGCUAUGUGCCUAAUGAAACGACGUAUACAAUCCUCGUUGAAGGGAUUGCUCACGAGGAUGAAACGGAUUUGGCUGCGGAGGUUUUGAAAGAAUUGCAUAUGAGGAAUGUUAUAAGCCAGAAUACCAUGGAGAGAAUCACUAUGCAGUAUGACUUGGAAUAGCUUUUGUUUCUUUUUUGGGAAAUCGAGGGCAAAAAAUGCGAGAAAAAAGAUUUUAGUGGUUGGUUGAGGAACUCGGUUUCGAAGUUGUAGCAUAAAGAGUUGGCUCCUUUGCCAUUUUUCCGGAUCCUGACAUGUAUCUUAAGUCCUGCUUUGGUUGAUCAAAUCCUAAAGCUGAACACAAUCAUAUAGGCAUGAAUGUGUUUCCCUGAAUCCUGAUGGAAGAGUCAUACUUAAGAGCUUCAGAUGCUUACUUUUCUUAAUUGAGAAUGUUCAGCUUAAUUGUGUAGGAUGGAUUGUUACCUCACUCAUCCCAGUGGUUCAUGUUGUGGUGAUGCUUAAAAUUGACCUUUUACUGUUUGAGAGAGUGGUUAGAUUAUCAGCUAACUGGUUUGUAGAUACAUAAUAUUACUCAAAUAUGAACUUUUUGAUGCCAUGAGAACACUACUAGAUAGAUGCUGUGAAUCAUAUAUUAAACAUGAAUGAUGAUCCAACAUUUCUCUUUUCAUCCAGUUGUGUACUUCAUUUCUAUCAGAGUAUAAGAUGCUUGUAUUUCCUCCGAAACUAUCUAAUUUGUGAUGGUUGUUUUUCCACCAUGAAAUGAAGAGACUUUUUUAGAAUUAAGGUGUGCCGAGUAGGUAAGGGUUAUUAUAUUUUUAUGAGUAUAUAUCUUUUUUGUAUUCAUAAAUUUUUACUGUUGAAUGAAAGGAGUGCGGUUAGAAUGAUAGUGAUCUCUGAUUAGAUCGAGUGGAUGGUUGGUUAAAUAGUAUAAUUUAACAGAUAAAAAUGAUAAAAAAAAAUAAAUAUAAUGAUCGAAAAUUUAUAAAUAUAAAAAAAUUUAUGCUCAUAAGAGUAUAAUAGUCCACGUUAGUAAAUUUUUACAAUUUAUUAUUAUUUUUUUUCCUCUUAGUGAGCACGUACUAUCCUAAACUGACCAUACACAACCAAACUCGCAUCGUAGCCGUUCAAUAUUAUAUACACAAACUUUGGGCACAAAAUGAACGGUCAGGGAAAGUCCCACUGCGCGAUUCGCUCACGACCGUUCAUCACGACUUACGAGCGUUCGCUUCUCCGUCGUUCCAAACCCUAGCACUAUAAAUAUGUACGGCUCCCUGUUGUUUUCGUUUCUUUUGUUCUCGAAGCCGCUCCAAGGAGAGAGUUGAGAGGCGGAGAUCGGCGUAGUUUCGAGAGCUCGCGGGUUGAGACGAUGAGGGCGAAGGUGAGAUCGCUUUGAUCCCUUCCUUUUUUUUUCCCGCGGUUCUUUGAAUUGAUUUGAUCUUGUGUAUCCAUCUGUGAUCGAUCUAAUUAUUUUAGGGUUUUUUUUGAGUUCUAUUGGUGUCGGUUUAGGAGCUUGUGAUGUACGAUUUUUGCAUGUUUUUGGAUGUCCUUUCAAUGUUUGAGUUUAGUUCGGUGGUUGAUCUCGUAACUAUCUUUGUUGAGGAAUCUUGGAUUAUUUGUUUCUUUCAUUGCUUACAUUUACUGUUUUGAUUUUUCAUAAUCCGUGGGUUAUGGGUUAUAUGAUUUUCCUUAUGCUUAUACCUUUGACUCCUUUGUAUUCUUUGAUUUGUGAGAUUAUUGUUGUUUAUUGUAGUAGAGAAUAAUGUUCAAUAAGAUUUUGUAUUCGGGUUGUUAGGCCAAUCGAAUAGUUUUAUGUAUUUAUUCCGGGAUUGCGUUAGAAUUUUAUUGAUAAAAAUUGGAAAUUGUUUGACAAAGUAUUAUGGACUUCUAGAUCAUUAUUUUAAAAAAAAAACAAAUUUAUAUUCUAGAAAUCUUCUGAGGGUAGACAUAAGAUGGCCACAAUUUCAAUCCGGGAUGUUGAAAUUCUUGGAAAACUCUGAAAUAUAUCAUUAACUCGCAACCAUCUUACGAGGUGUUGUGGAUGUUGCAACCAUGAAUUCCUUAUUUGGGCACAGAAGAGAAUAAUGCUACAGUCUUUAGGUGGCAGAUCAGAUGUGGGCAUUGUGUUUGUGGAUGGAAUCAAAUUAUUUUGAUCACCUUCUCUGUAUGCAUGAAUCGUAGCCCACUUUGAAGUACGUGAUGUUUGGAAAACAUGUGGAACCAUAAAAAGAAUUAUCAGAUGUGUCUUAUUCUGGCACGUCAUUCACAUAACUGUCAGAUACCAGUGAUGGUGCUUUGAGUAAAUAUUUUGCUGUGAUAAAGGGUGCUUUUGAGUGAGGCAUGCAUAAUAGAAAUGUUUCUGAGCUUCUCUUGGUGUAUGUGUGAUCCAACUAAGGGUGCGUUUGGUUCGCGCUAUCUUUUAAAGAUUCCUAGUAAUGCAAUGGGAAUAAAAAAUUAUGACGGUGUUUGGCUAAAUGCACUAAGUAAUCUAGUUGGUAAUAUUGGAUUCACUUGGGAAUAAGAUUCACCCCAAAGUACUAAUCUCAUUCCCUUGAGGGAGGGUGGGUAUCCUCAUAUUAAUGGAUUGGGGUAAUCAUAAUAUGUCUAAUCUCUUUCUUUCUUCCUACCCGUCGGCUAAUUGAUAUUAUUUGUCUUUACACUCUAACCUUAUAUCUCUCUCUAAACUUAUUUUUCUCUUUAAAAUUUAACUUUUUUUUCUCUCUCUAAACUAAGCUUUCUCUCUCUCUCUUUUUAAAAUUUCAACUCUCUCACUCCCUCUAAUUUUGACUAUAUUUUUCUUUCUAUUUUUUUAAUUAUGCUCUCUCUCUCUAACUUAUACUCUCUCUCCCUUUUUUCUAAAAAGAUGUUGAAACUUUUGGUAACAUUAUCUAAAAUUAAUUAAAUUAAUUAAUUAAUUAAUUGUAUAUUUUUUGUAAUAUUAAAUAAUAUGGUUAAUUAAUAUUACCUCGCGAACCAAACAUAGGAAUUUCGCAUUCUUAGUAAUAGGAUGAAUAGGAAUAAGAUUCUCGGAUAUCUUUUAUUCCUAGUAAUCUUUCAUAAUGCGAACCAAACGCACCCUAAAAGUUAAAUCCUAUUUAGUAAGAUGUAAAGGAAGAGAUUUAGGGGGGACUAGGAAGAUACUUCAGUUAAAAAUAAUUUUUGUUCUCUUCGGAGGAAAGUAGGAAGAUUAGGUCUGGUUGUAUCUUGGACUAUUGUUAAUCCUGUUUAAUGCUUUGUGUGCAAUUGUUUAUUGAUAGUAAGAUAAACUUCAAUUUCCCCCCUUGUGGUUUAGCUCAUUUUUCCAUUAUGUGGUUCAAAAAAUUGCACUUAACUACUAUAUUUUUUUUUCUCUAUUCUUAUCCAAUAAAUCUACUAACAAAUCGGGUAGCAAAGUGAAAUUUUUUGAUAACCACAUGAUAAUUAAGUAUAACUUUUUGAACCAUUGAGUUGGAAACUGAACAUGAGUUAAACCACGGAAUGGUUGAGUGCUAUUUUUUGAACCACAAGAUAAUAAAGUAAUAAUAAGCUAAACCACAAAAGGGCAAAUUGAAGUUUACCCUUGAUAUUAUCGGCGGCUGUGACUCGUUGGACUCUUGCAUUCUGACAUCGCAAAUUGUAGAAAGGUUUUUGUAUUAUUCCUUGUCCUCGACACUUAUCGGGGGUCCCAAAAUAUUGCCCGCACCAAGUGCAUCCGUAAGUCCGUUUACCAUGCAAUUAGAGACUUUCCUCUUUUUCUUAGUUACUUGGAUGGCUGGAUAGGUUUUAUGAGAUUGAUGGAUAAACGGUGGAGGAUGAUUAUGCCCAAACACAAGGUGUAGGCUAUCAAUUUUCUCCGAGGCAAGUAGUAAAUAAAGAACUUUCAAAAGUUUGAGGUGAAAUUCAGCAACCGGGUGGUGCAAUUGACCAUUUGUUACUCAGUUACAAUAUGUCCUGCAUGUGCUUUUGUUAUCUAAAAUGCCGUUUCAAAAUUAUCUGUUUGUUGUUCCAUAUAAUGGAGAAUAAUUAUUGGUUUGUAUUUUUAUCUUCUUCAGUGGAAGAAGAAGCGCAUGAGGAGGCUCAAGAGGAAGCGCCGAAAGAUGAGGCAGAGAUCCAAGUAGACGAAGGGACGGAUUCAAGGGCUAUCUCCUUUGGUUUUUUUUUCCUUUUUAUAUAUAUUUUUCCCCCUCCUUUGAGAGGCCUCUAGACUUGCGUUUUGUCGAGUUAAAAAUGUUCUAACUUUCCUUCAGACCAUGAAAACCAAGACGUUUUAUUUUGAGUUAUGAUGAGUCCCCGUUCGGGGACUAAUCUAUGAGCUUCCGUUUGCUUCGGUGUUAAGGGGUGAAGUUAUUUCCAAACAUCUAAUUUUGGGGGUGGUGUUAGCUAACUCCAUCCCGGCUAUUCUAAAUUACUCUAAUUUCAUCUUAAUUCUUAACUUAAUCUUAUUCUUGAAAUAAUAAAUUUUUACUUAAUCCUGAACCAAACGAUAGCUUAGUUUCUCUCUUCUCUUUGGAUUGUGCGCACGCCUGUUGAUGCGAAGCAGAUGGUUUCAUCGCGAUACUACCCAGGUUCAGGUUCUACGUAUGCAUCAUAUGAUGGAACUGAAAUUGGAGCGUUAUUUAUGUAGAAGAGCUUCUUACGUAAUUUCCGUGAACCAAUGAUUACACAACACUCCCUUUCCCCUUCAGCAAGAUUCGUGUUAAUAACCUCUCAAAAAUCAAUCCUCCUCUUUGCCGUCCGCACAAUUUUUUACCUCAAUGCUACAUGUAUAUCUAAAUGUGCGAGAUUUGCACCACAUAAUUAUUUUUUAUUAGUCUAGGUCUUUUUAAUAUUAAAAAAGAAAUGGAAGGAGAUUUUGUGAAUCCAAGGACGAGCGAGGUGCUAGAUUUUUAAUCUGUAUACUAGGAAUAUAUAUGUAGUAUGUUUUAUUUUGUGAAUCAUCAUAACAGAAAAGAUUAAAAAGAAAUCACAUGUUCCGAUCUUAUAUAUUUGAAGAGAAGCUGUUAACUUGGCAUUUUGUCCUCUGUUUCCUAACACGAACGCAAUUCCAAUUUCUUGAUCUCUGUCGCAGCUUCCCCCCCACCCCCCCAACUGCCAAAAGGAGAGAAACAUUCCAAAAUCCAAACCGAGACAUUGACCCGCGGGUGAAUUUGCAGGAGAAUCCCUGCACAAUCCAGGUAUUGCUUUGUCGCUUGCUACAGUACUCGUGACGUUUUGUUUUGAUAGGUGGUUUUCACGGACCUAACACAACAAUCGGAUACCGAUCCAAUUAUAUUCCAACGGCUAGUUCAAGCACCCGCCUCCCCCACCUUCGACAGCGCCUACUCCAUAAAAAGAUGAAAAAGCAAUCAUCUCGUGAUUUUUGUGCAGAUUCCUCCUUACUAUAACUGUUUAUAAUAAUAAGGCCCGUGUUUUAUUCACAAACUAUGAUACGUUGCAUAAAUCGCGAUAGCUUACUGAGGCACGAUGAUAACAAACCGGUUCUUUAUUUUAUGCAUCACUAUAACGCCAGUACUAGUUAAAAUGUUUUAGAUUCCAUUUGAGGCAAGGAAAAGUAUAAAUCUAUACUUUUUGAUUUUUUAGCGUGAUGAGCUAGUUUAGGAUUAUCUUUUUCUUUUAUAUAUAUAUAUUUCAAAAUAUUUAAAGGAGAGAAAAUGUACGUCUGAGUAAACAUAGAAAUUAUUUGUUACUGGACAGUAAAAGUUGAUCUCAUCUAAAAGAGGAGAUACCAAAAAAAAAGAGAUGGAAAAAGGAAAAGGAGGGAGCAAAUGAAUAAAAGGAAAAGGAGGAAACAAGAUAAUGGCUCUCUUCUUUGAAUCUUUCAUGCAUUUCAUGGCUCACAGAGUUUGCUUUAAUUAUGACACCAUAAACUAGAAAAUAAUCAUUGCAAGACACAAUGCUUAUUUUGUACAAGCAUUGCUCAAAUUAUUUUUAAAAUGAUUUAUAAUUAGUAAUCCUAAUCGAGUGAUUUCAUUAAUUACUUAGUACGGCUAAACUCAAAACUUUGAUCCCUUUCACAAAGAUUUUAUAUAGUAACUUUUCAAACUAAAAAGAGGAAGUAUAUAUAUAGGAGUUAAAACACAUCUUAAAAAGAUAAUAUUUAAUAGAGAAAUAAAUGUACAGUUUUUUUUUCUCUAACUUCACAUGCGCACUUGGACUUGCAUACAUUUACUAAAUUAAGAGUAAGUGCUCUCGACACUACAGGGUUAUUAAAUGUGCAUGACCCUCGCAGGUACUGUAAUUCGCUCUGUGGAAAAAAGGUGGUCAAAUUUCUAAUAAGGAGACCACUAAGAAAUGUAAAUAUGUAAUAAAUAGGGUGGUGAUGAUGAGCUACGAGAGCAUUGAAUGAGCAUGGAUCCAACUCCACCUUUUUCAAAUCAUUAAAUUGCACAAAAUCAUACUGAUAAUAAUGCUAUUCACAUUUUGAGAUAGAGAGGAGUAGAAUCUGAAAAAUAAAAACUAUUUUAUGAAAAUAUUUUUACAAAUCAUGAAAUGUUGGUCUUUGACUUACUGUAUAUCAUGUCUAAAAGAACCAAUUAGUUUACUUAUAUUCUACUUUUAUCUAGUUCUCAGAAGCGUGCCUAGUAUUUUAUUCAAAGUAGUAUUAUGGUUUCAGUAUAUUUGUUUCUAUUACAAUAUUGCGAAUGAAAGCUAAAAUUUCUAUACAUAAUAUGGAUAAUAUUAUCAAUGGAAGCACAUUUUAAUAUUGACCAAAAAUUAAAAGUAUUUUUAGUAUUUAAUACUAUACAGGUUUAAUAGUCCAAAAACUCGCAGAUCCUUAUUGGCUAGUAGUAGAAAUUUCUUUUAUAUCACUCUCGUAAUUUUUGUUUUUAAUAGCUAUAUUCAAGCAAAAGCUAAUGAUAAUAUAUAUAUAAAAAAAAAUCCAUUAAUUUGUGGGGUGCAUCAUUCAUUGCAGAGGAAACACUUUUGUGCACCAUUUGUUGAGAGUGGACCCAUUUUGGUAUAUUCCAUCCAAAUAAAGUUUUUUUUAAAAAAAAAAAACUAAGAACACACUGAUCAAACGGCUAGUGUAGCUCUCUGGUUACUGGUACAGUGAUCCAACGGUGGGCUCACAAAGUAAACUACAGCGUUAUUUUUUUGGACUCACACCGCGUCCACUACCGUAUAUUAAAAUAAAAAAUAAAUUAGAACGUUGGAGAGAGAAUCAAUGCACAGUUCCCGAGGUGGUGAACCGAGCCCUAACCAUUAUUCUCCUCGCCCUUUUCGUUUAUCUGUAUUAGGAGAACUUAUUCCCUGCACCUGAUAUAUCCCAACGCUUUGUGAACCUCAUUGUAUGGUUGUGAAAUGGUCUGUUCAAAAUUAUGAAUAUUAAAUUCACCUAUUUUUAGGUGUGUAUUGUUUUAAAUUUAAAGCAUGAAAUUUGCAAAUUUGAAUGUUAAAUUAUAUUUAUUAUUAUUCACUGGAUACGGUUCACGAUACGUACGGAUGAACCGCGUCCACGCGUAGUUUCUCCUUUAUUGCACUUGAGCCUUUUUUUGGGUAAAUGCUGAGGUGUUGGGGUUUCCACUCUCGGGCUGGUGCAGAGAGAAAUUAUUUCGUGCACCGGGUGUAUACACUAUAUCUAACUCAUUAGAUUUGGGCAUAAAUAAAAGGGAAACUUCAAAACCCCCCUGUGGUUUCAUUGUUUCUUACUUUAGUACCCUGUGAUUUAAAGUGUAUCAAUUUGCCCCUCUGUGGUUUCGUUUUUAUCUUUUCGGUAGCUUUUUUGUUAAUAUUUUAUUAAAGGAAAAACUUCAAAAACUCCCCUUGUGGUUUCACACUUUUUCAUUUUAGUACCCUGUGGUUUAAAGUGUAUCAAGUUAGUACCCUGUGGUUUCUUUAUCACUUUAGUACCCUGUAGUUUAAAAUGUAUCAAAUUAGUACCCGGUGGUUUUGCACUUUAUCACUUUAGUACCCUGUGGUUUCACACUUUAUCACUUUAGUAUCCUGUGAUUUAAAAAACCACAGGGUACUAACGUGAUACAAAAUUAAAACCACAAGGUACUAAAGUGAUAAAAUGCAAAACCACAUGGUACUAACUUGAUACACUUUAAACCACAGGGUACUAAAGUGAUAAAGUGAGAAACCAUAGGGUACUAACUUGAUACAUUUUAAACCACAGGGUAUUAAAGUGAAAAAAAUUGAAACCACAAGGAGGGUUUUUGAAGUUUUCCCUUUAUUUAUUAAAUUAUAUACAAAAAAACUUCAGAUACCUAUCUAGAUUUAUCAAAUAUUCACUUUAGUAUUCUUUAAUUUUAACUUUAUCACCGAUUUAAGAAAAAAAAAUAAUGAAAUUGAUAAGAAAAAGAGAAAAAAGAAACCACAGAAGGACAAAUUGAUACAUUUUAAACCACAGGGGGGCAAAGUGAGAAACUAUGAAACCACAUGGGGGGUUUUUGAAGUU